UUUUUAUUUUGUAUCACAAAUAUGAUUAUAUAACUGGAAUUCACAUAUAUCACACAGAUCCACAUAUAUAUCACACAAAUCCACAUAUAUAGCACACAUAAACCAUAAUAAAUGAGUUCAACAAGUCCGGGACACCACUACAAUGCCAGCAUUUCAGUCUGUGAAGCCAAAUAGCUAUUAUUGCAAGAACUUCCAGAACCAUGGGACUCCACAUUAUGAUUAUAUGAGCGUAGUUCUUCAAUCUACAGCUUUCCGAUGAAACUAUCACCAGACAACCAAGGCACCUCUAAGCCUCCACAAGGCAGAGGCAGGGGCACAGACAGCGCCAAGGGGGGCAACGCCGGAGCGGUCGCAGAAACGCCGGAGCAAAAUUUAUUUCACAUGGUUCUGCUCUAUUUUCCCUGUGAGUUAGAGAUUUAAAGAAUAUAAGCAGUGAUGCCAUAUGUUCUAAAUAAAUGAUAAUAUAUAUGAUUUGGAUGUUGGAAUAAACUAACUGCACAAACAUACAGAUGCCAUGAUAGCAAAAUUCGAGCAUGGAAUCUGAUCCACAAUAAACAACAUCUGCAAGAGUCUCUACAUCAACUCCGUUCUAUUUAUAGUGAUACAGUCCUUUGACUAAGCCUCUCAGUUUCACUAAAUAUAGCACAGCAAGCCAAAGAACUAACUUGGCCAAAUCAAGUAUAUGACAUAUUGAACUGCAGGAAGGGGGGCUUGUCUCAUUUGUACCCAAGUAACCAUUAUUUUGUAUUUUUUCCCCAACUAUGCAACUAAAAAACAGUAAAGACAUAAAUAAAAAUGUGCACCAUUGUUGUGGAAGUAUAUAGAGCUGAUAUAAGUUGUAACACUAGGGGUUUCCUUGGCAAAUUAUAAGCUGAAACUUAACAUAAAAAGCGUAGCUUGUAAGAUUCAGACACCAGGUUAAGUUGGCCUAACUUGACAAACUGAAAGGAUCAAGAUGCCCAAGAGGGGGGGGGGGUGAAUUGGGCUUCUCUAAAAAUUUAAGCAACCUAUAAGUUCUAAUUCAACCCCUUGUGCCUAGUGUGACUUAAAGAGCUACCGGAUAAAAGUUUUGCAACCUAGUUCCAAUCCUAUUCUAGCAUGGCAAUUCUAAGAAUGUAAAAGCACAAAGUAAUUGCUAGAAAGUAAAGGAGUAGUGGAAGAAAAUGCUCGGCGAUGUUUUGCCGAGGUAUCGGAGAGUCGCCACUCUCCACUAGUCCUCGUUGGAGCACCCGCGCAAGGGUCUUGCUCCCCCUUGGUCCGCGCAAGGACCAAGUGCUCUCUACGGGCUGAUUCUUCGACACUCCGUCGCGGUGAAUCGCCCAAAACCGCUCACAAGCUUGACACGAGCCACCCACAAGAACUCCGGGUGGUCUUCGUGCCUCCAAUCACCACCGAACCGUCUAGGUGAUGGCGAUCACCAAGAGUAACAAGCAAAGAACUCUCACUUGACCCAAACAAGGCACUAGAGAGUGGUGGAUGCACACUUGACUCUUGGAACUCACUAGAGAAGGAUUCUCUCAAGAAAUCACUCAAUUCUCAAUCCUCUCUAGGCUCUUGCAACUCUCUUGCUCCACAAACAAGUUUCUCUGAUGUUCAAAUGGGCAAGAGAGCUCUCAUGGACGAGGUGGAGGAGUAUAAAUACUAUCCACCAAGUCCAAAGGUCGGCCAACCGUUUUCCACUAAAAACGGGGUCACCGGACGCACAUUAUGUUGCACCGGACGCACUGCACCGAGCGUCCGGUGCUUCAUAACGGCUACCUGCUCUUUUCUCUGACAGGUCACCGGACGCUAACUCUCAGCGUCCGGUGCACCGUCCGGUGCUCGGGGAAACUUUACACGCUCCCUGCGCAUGGGACCGGACGCUACCCGGUGCGUCCGGUGCUAGCGUCCGGUGCUCAGGGGAACUUUGCAAGCUCCCUGGGUAAGGGACCGGACGCUGCCCGGUGCGUCCGGUGCCAGCGUCCGGUGCCUAACCCUAAGCACCAAACUGUUCCAACGGCUAAGGACCUCACCGGACGCACUCACAGAGCGUCCGGUGCAGCGUCCGGUGCCCCUUUGGGCACCCAAACUUCGUCGAAACGCGAUCGCUCGAACACGAAGUUUGUUCCUCUCGAUCUAAGGACUAUCUCUGAGCUGCCUAGUGCUAGGUUUACCAAGUGUGCACCACACCUAAACCUAAUGCCUUGCCUAAGUCAAGCUACUAGAUCAAAGCCCCUCUUAAUAGUACGGUCAAAGGAAAACAAAGUCCUAAACUACUCUAAGUGCCCUUCUUCACCAUAUGGCACUUAGACCUAGUCUAGUCUUGACGAUGUCCAUCCAUCCUUUGAAAACCGAAACGAUUUCCACUAUUAAGUAGGCAUGUACGUCCCUGUCCAUCGAGUACCUAUAUACCAUGACUUUACCUAUGACUUUGCCUCUGCAAAACACACGUUAGUCAUAGUAAUCAAUAAUGUCAUUAAUCACCGAAAUCACUAGGGGCCUAGAUGCUCUUUCAAUCUCCCCCUUUUUGGUGAUUGAUGACAACCUCGAGUAGAAAAGAGUUGAGGUUUUCAAAGUGACUUGGUUUCAAUAAGCAUGUUACAAUAAGAACUAAGGGAUUAGACAUGCUUAUAUCAACCAAGUCCAAUAUCCUGCAUCCAAAUAUGUGAGUGGUACACGACAGGAUAUAAACAUAAGGCUCAUAAGUACAUCGAAGUAAAAACGCGGAAGCAAAGGUAAUAUGAGCCAAAACACAUGACAUUAAGAUAUCACAACAACCAUAAGUCAUGUCUCACAAUCAUAGUAUCUCACACAAGUGCAAUGCAAAAAAGUAAACGUGAUGCAUGAUAAAGUAGCACACAUAUCAAAUAUCUCAAAGAAUAAACUCCCUCUGUAGCUAGCUCCCCCUAACUCCCUAACUCUCUCAUACGCACUCUCUCCCCCUUUGGCAUCAAGCGCCAAAAACCUAAGAAGACGGAGGAGGAGGCGGAGCAGUAGAGUCCCUCGGCGCGGCCACGAAACGAGCUGCAUCAUGUGAACUGUCGGCCGUCGAGGCGGAGGAGAUGGAGUGACCCUCUGAAACUGCAGGUGCUGGAGAAGCGGUCCGGGUCUGCUCUGGCGCUGUCACAGGCUGUGCAGGCCGCUCAAAUCCGGCUGACGAAGCUGGCACGGACUCGGUCGCUGUAGCUGUCGUCUCUGGAACGGUAGUAGACGGUGCAAGCUGCUCGGACGACGCUACUGACGACGACAGGAGCUCUGUGGUGGUAACUGGUGCCGUAAAGACUGCAGGAGCCUGCAGAGGAGGAGGCGUAGGGUCACCAGUCAGAGCACUGUAGGUGAAGCUGAGGUGCGGAUCUGUCUGCGAAUCCCACACAAGCUGUGACGCUGACGCUGACUGAGGAGUGAAGCCUGAGCGGAGAGGAGUAAACUGCGGUACCUGCUCAAAGCCUGAAGAGAUAGCACCCUGAGAGACCUGGUGCUGUGGCGUCGAGAACGGCUGACUCUGAGCUGGUAACUGAAGCGGCUGCUGAGACGGGCUCUGAGUCUGAGGCACAGGAGUAGGGGGCCUGACUGACGACGUGCCGGGGAGCUGUAUCUGCGGUAGCUGAAUCCCGGAGGCGGCCAUAAGAGCGGCCAUCAUCGCUGUCUGCUGGGCCUGGAAAGCAAGCUGCUGCUCCUGAAAAGUGAGAAGCUGACGCUGGAGCUCAUCCUGCCUGGCCUGCAUGGCUGCAUUGAUGGCAGCCUGAUCCCUGUCUCGCCUCGCCUGCUCCUCAGCUGCACGUCGCUGAUCUGCCCUCAUCCCCUCUAGAAUAGCAAGCAGGGCGGGGUCGGAAGCACUCGAAGAACCGCCUGCCUCGUGGUCAUGAGCUCUGGGAGGAAGGUCAGUCACUGGCGGCUGAUAGUCAUCGUCUGAACUGUCUGAGGCGAAGUCAAACUCGCCCUCUGCCUCUGCAUCGGCGAACACGCCGAUAGCUACGUCCUGUUGCUCCUCUGUCUCUGCAACAACUGCUGUACUGCGGGUGCCCCUAGGAGAAGGUGGGGACACCGGUCCACGUGGAGCACGAGGAGGAGGUGCACCGCGAAGGUCGUGGUGCGCUCUCAACAUCUGCCGGGGGUCGUAGUGGGGGAAGACGGUGUCAGACUCUGUCAACUCCCUCUGCAAGUGAGCUGGCAGGGGCAGUGGCCUAGCACGAAGUAUAAGCAGGGUGAUCCAAUGUGCGUAGGGCAACUGACGCCGGCCCCUGAAGCUCUCUGAGAUGGUGUCCUCUAUCUCUGAGACAAUCAGAUCCCACAAAUCAAACUCUGUCUGGGAGAUGAGAUGAGCGACUAACCACUGCUGGAUGCGAGUGAAACCGUCUCUGUAGCCUGUCCUGGGGAGAAGGGUCUUCCUCAACACAAAGUCAAGGAUCCUGGCUGGGCGUGUCAAGUCUCCCACUGUCCUGCUGGAGCCCUCCCCAAAAGGUGCACGGAAGCAUGGAGCCACGAAGUCAACCGGUGGUAUCUCGCCACCGUGAGGCCGACGAGGGGGAUCCACGUUCCCGUAGCACAGCUGGUGAAUCCUGGUGGGAGAGGCUCGCAGUCCAAGCACCUGUCUGGCUAGCUGUGAUGUCACUCUGUAGUCGGUCCCUGCCAGUGCGUAGUGGAUAUAGCUGUGAUCUGGAGAAAUCCACACUGAUGCAUAGAACUCUCUGACCAACUGCUCACAAUAAGUACCGGGGAGCGCUAGCAGCUCUGGGAGUCCGUGGAGGUAAGUGAAAUACUGCCGAAUAUCUGCCCCGACCACGUUCCCGAGAAUCUCUAGGUCAAUCACCCUGUGCUCCCUGAACUGUGACUGAGAACGAACCAAUGCCUCGUGAAUGUCCUCCUGGACGACGGUGUAGAAGCGGGCACCGGCUCUAGAAUCCCUGGUAGCUGGAAACCAAGACGGAAACGGAACGAACCGCAGCUGCUGGAUCUCUCUGGCUGACACAAGAGUGAGAUCCCGGUGAAUCCUGACUGGCCUCUGGAGGGAAGCUGGAGUGCCUCUCGCCGGAGUGGCACGAGCUGUGGAGGUGGACUGACCCUGCGUACCAGUCCGGGGAGUAGGCUGAGUACGAGCACGAGUCGACCUCCGCAGUGUCUGCUCCUGCUCCUGUCCCUCUGCUGGACCCUCUGCCUGGGUCUCUGUCUCAGUGUCCGGACCCUCCUGAGCUGGAUCCCUAACCACGAGCCUGACCCUCUGUCCUCCAAUCGUCACAGUGCCUGGAGGGGAUCCAUGGAAAGCCUCUGCCUCAAGCACUGCACGCCUCUAACGCGGCGUAAGAUCAUCCCCAAUCCUCAAAGCACCUGCUCGACCACCUCUCUCUGCUGCCUCUGCUGCUGCUGCCACUGCCUCUGCGACCUCUGCAUCUCUGUCACUGGCCUUGCGCUUCUUGGUGGCCAGCUUCUUUCCCUUGCCUUUCUCUGCCGCUGAUAGGCGACGAGGAGGAUCACCUCCACCAUCGCCUCCUGGAGAACCUCCAGAGCCAGCUGUCGGACCACUGACGUUCUUGGUGCGAGCCAUUGCGAAACAAGAGUCCGACAAACAACCGACUAACAAUGGAGAUUAACGCGGAUCCGCGGACGAGAAGCGUUCCGAAAGAGAUGACACGAUCGGGAACUGCCGGAGAACGCGAAGCUCUUCCUUAAGGUGCUGCACAGGGUUAACGAAGAAGAUCGGAGUCAAAAACCCUUUUCUAAUCCGUUGAGACAAAAACUUAAACACCUUAGGGGCAGGGGUUUAGGGCCCAAAACCUAAGACUCGCGAGAAAACUUGAAUCUGCGCGAGGAAGAGAAAGGAGAAGAACGCGGGGCGGAUCUGGGCGCCGGGGAGAACUUCCAAGAGCACCGGGAUCCGGCGAACGGACGGCGGCGGCGGGUUAGGUGGUCUAGGGCACGGGGGCGAACAGCGGCGGACCGGGAAGGAAGAAGAAAACCGCCCGUGAAACCCUCUGGGCGCGGGCUUUAUGCGCCAGCCGCGGGGUCACCGGACGCUCUUUAUGUGGCACCGGACGCGUCCGGUGACCACCGGACUCAUGCGCAGAGAGGUUUGCAAAACGGUAUUGCACCGGACGAUGGGCACCGGACGCUGGCUUUAGCGUCCGGUGCUUCAGGUCAUGCCAGGUGGGCACCGGACGCACCGCACCGGACGCUACAGGGAAACUGUUUCUGCGUCCGGUGAGUGCAAUCUAGCACACUCACCGCACCGGACGCACAGAGGCAGCGUCCGGUGCAUCGUCCGGUGCUCCUCUGAGCACUUUUUCAACUAAGCACCUCGUCCGACUUUGACCCAACCAAGUUCCAUUUCCAAAAGCACACACUUAAACACAAAAUGGAACUGGUAUGAGUGACUUCUCUCAAACCCUCAAAUUUUCACAAAUAUUUAGCCAUAGGCUUAGUAGUUUUUAUGAAAAUAGUUCGAGAAAAACACCAAGGAGCAUCGUAUGGCCAUAAAGCUAGGGGUUUGAAUCAUAAUGAGCUUUGAAUGCUCCCCCUAUCUAUGGACGAACACAGCGGAUGCUCAACGAGUAACCGAAAAUAAACGGUUAACCAACAAGCGUGCAUAUGAAAUGAGUUGUAAUGCAAUACUUGAAAGUAAACUAAACUUGUCAAAUUUGAUCCAAGGUUAAGCUUUUUCACACACUCAAGGGGGUUAUCUUAACCAUGUUAGACAAGCCCUACAUGCAAGUUGGAUUUUAGAUUUAGUAUGCAUGAAAUGCAAAGCAAAAGUUAUUUACAAGAUUCAACACACAACUUUUAUCUUUUAGUGAAGUUGGACAUGUCAAGCACAUUAAGUUCAUUUCUCAACAUGCAAAACCUAGCUUCAUCUAGGGGUUUUGUGAAGAUAUCCGCCAAUUGAUUUUCCGUUCCCACAUUCUCUAGAGAUAUGUCACCUUUAGCAACGUGGUCCCUAAGGAAGUGGUGGCGGAUGUCAAUAUGUUUUGUGCGAGUGUGUUGAACCGGGUUGUUUGCAAGUUUUACGGCACUUUCGUUAUCACACAACAAAGGUACUUUGUCUAGUACUACUUCAUAGUCUAGCAAAGUUUGUUUCAUGUAGAGUAUUUGUGCACAACAAGCAUCAGUGGCUAUGUAUUCCGCCUCGGCCGUUGACAAAGCAACACUAUUUUGUUUCUUUGACAUCCAAGAGACAAGUGAUCUACCUAGGAAAUGGCACCCUCCGGAUGUGCUUUUUCUAUCAAUCCGGCACCCGGCAUAAUCCGAAUCGGAAUAGCCUACAAGUUGGAAUCUUGCACCUUUGGGAUACCACAAGCCUAGGCAAGGUGUGUAUUUUAGAUACCUAAGAAUUCUCUUGACGGCAAUCAAGUGAGAUUCCAUAGGCAUUGCUUGAUAUCUUGCACACAUACACACACUAAACAUUAUAUCGGGCCUAGAUGCGGUGAGGUAGAGUAGACUUCCUAUCAUGGAGCGAUAGAGAGUCUUGUCAAUAGGGUUACCUCCCUCAUCCAAGUCGAGAUGCCCAUUUGAUGCCAUGGGAGUCUUGAUUGGCUUGCAAUCCAUCAUCUUGAACCUCUUGAGAAGAUCUUGAGUGUACUUCUCUUGGGAGAUAAAGACUCCUUCCUUCAUUUGCUUGACUUGAAAUCCUAGGAAGAAGGAUAGCUCGCCAAUCAUGGACAUCUCAAACUCCUUGGACAUCAAAUCACCAAAUUCCUUGCAAAAAUCUUCAUUAGUAGAGCCAAAAAUAAUAUCAUCAACAUAAACUUGGCAAAUGAAGAUUUCCCCAUUCAUUUUCUUGGUGAAGAGUGUUGUGUCAACUUUCCCAAUCUUGAAGCCCUUCUCAAUGAGGAAGUCCCUAAGCCUCUCAUACCAAGCUCUAGGAGCUUGCUUGAGACCAUAGAGAGCCUUGGACAACCGGUAGACAUGCUUGGGGUACCUAGGGUCUUCAAAACCAGGGGGUUGCUCAACAUAGACAAGCUCAUUAAUAUAACCAUUUAAAAAGGCACUUUUCACAUCCAUUUGAAAUAAUUUGAUAUCAUGACUUGAUGCAUAUGCAAGUAGGAUACGGAUUGCUUCAAGUCUUGCCACCGGUGCAAAGGUUUCACCGAAGUCAAGACCUUCCACUUGUGAAAAGCCUUUUGCCACAAGUCUUGCCUUGUUGCGCACCACUUUGCCUUGAUCAUCCUUCUUGUUCCGGAAGACCCAUUUUGUUCCAAUCACUCUUGCAUGUUUGGGUCGCUCUUCAAGUGUCCAAACUUGAUUGCGAGAGAAGUUGUUCAACUCCUCUUGCAUGGACAUGAUCCAAUCCGCAUCACGAAGAGCUUCCUCUAUAGUCUUUGGUUCAUCUUCAAGAGACACAAAAGCGUGAUGUUCAAUAAAUAAAGCAUGUCUAGAACGAGUAGUUACACCACGUGAUGGACUCCCGAUGAUGAGAUCUUGAGAGUGAUCUUGGAGGAGAUGUGAUGUUCUUUUUGGUGCCACUUGAGGGGUUGGUUGAGGAGCAUCAACAUCUUGUGCUUGUGCCACCACUUGCUCAUGAGUGACUUGGGUGUCUUCAUGAGCAUCUCUCACAUCCUUGUCUUCAUCUUGUGGACCUUGUGAGGUGGAUGGUGGCUCAAUGACUUGCACAUCAUCAUCAUCUUCUUUAGGCUUGAUGUCUCCUACCGGCAUGUUCUUCAUGGCAUCCCUCAAUGGUUCACCACCUACAUCAUCAAGAUUAUCACUUGCUCCUUGGGAGCCAUUAGUUUCAUCAAAUUCAACAUCAAAUGUUUCUUCAACCAUGUUUGUGGCAUGGUUAAAGACCCUAUAUGCUUUGGAUUUUGAUGAAUAGCCAACCAAGUAGCCAAUGUCACAUCUUCUUUGGAACUUUCCCAAGUGUUGGCGCUUCUUGUAGAUUUAGCACUUGCACCCAAACACUCUAAAGAAUGAGACAUUGGGCUUCUUCCCAUUGAGCAACUCAUAUGGUGUCUUCUCUAGGAACUUGUGAGGAAAGAGCCGGUUUGAAGCAUAGCAUGCCGUGUUGAUUGCCUCGGCCCACAUCUUCUCCGAAGUGUUAUACUCAUCUAGCAUUGUUCUUGCCAAGGUGAUCAAUGUCCGGUUCUUUCUUUCUACAACCCCAUUUUGUUGUGGUGUGUAUGUUGAGGAGAACUCAUGCUUGAUUCCCACUUCAUCACAAUAUUCUUCAAUGUUGGUGUUGUCAAACUCUUUGCCAUUGUCACUUCUAAUUUUCUUGAUCUUCACAUCAAAUUGAUUUUGAGCAUUCUUUGCAAACUUCUUGAAUAUUGAUGCAACUUCGACCUUGUCUUGCAAGAAGAAUGUCCAAGUGUACCGGGAGAAGUCAUCAACUAUGACCAAGCAAUAUUUGUUGCCUCCAAGACUAGCAUAUGUUGUUGGUCCAAACAAGUCCAUGUGAAGUAGCUCAAGCACUCUUGAAGUAGAGAGAUAGGCUUUGGUUGGAUGAGUGUUUGCAACUUGUUUGCCCGCUUGACAUGCACUACAAAGUUUGUCCUUUUCAAAUGUCACAUCCUUCAAGCCUCUAAUCAAUUCUUUCUUCAUCAACUUCUUGAGUGUGCCCAUUCCAACAUGUGCUAACCUUCUAUGCCACAACCACCCAAGUGAAGUCUUGGUGAAUAAGCAAGUCUUGACAUUAACUUCAUUUGAUGAGAAGUCAACCACAUAUAAGUUGUUGUGCCGGAAGCCUUUGAAUAUCACUUCAUUGUCAUCUUCCUUGGUCACAAUUACUUCCUUCUUCUUGAAUAGGCAUUCAAAUCCAAGAUCACAAAGUUGUCCAACCGAGAGCAAGUUGAAACUCAAAGAUUGCACAUAGAGCACAUUGAUGAUGGAGUUGUCAUUUGAAAUAGCAACCUUUCCUAGUCCCUUGACUUUCCCUUUUGAAUUGUCACCAAAUGUGAUCUUCUCUUGGUUGUCAACAUCUUCAUCAAGAGAGGUGAACAUCCGGGGAUCUCCGGUCAUAUGUUGAGUGCAACCACUAUCAAUUACCCAAUGUGAUCCAUCGGUCUUGUAGUUCACCUACACACAAGAGAUCAAGCUUGAGAUUUAGGGACCCACAUUUGCUUAGGGCCCUUCGCAUCAAUAUCUUCUCUACUAGUUGCUUUGGCACCCAAAUCUUCUUUGGCCUUUGCUUGUUUGGUGGCCCCAUGAAGCUAACCUUGACCUUGCCACACUUGUCUUUCCUUACAAUGUAAUGAGCAUUGAAGGCAAAUGGUCUUGCAUGCUUGGGCAAGGGUGGUGGUAGUGGUGCCUUACACUCAUGAGCAAAAUGUCCUUCUUGACCACACUCAAAACAUCUCUUUGGCUUUGGCUUGCUUGGUUGAUCAUGAGUGGCUAGUGACUUGAUGAGCUUCGUUUGAUGAGCCUUGUAGCCAAUCCCACUCUUGUCCAUCUUCAUGACGGUGUUCAUGAAAAGCUCACUUUGAAGGUCCUUCCCUUUUGUGAACUUUGCUAACCCCAUGGUUAGGUGUUCCUUCUCUUUCUUGAGCUUGUUGUUCUCUUGAGUUAGCUUCUUGAUGAUUGGGUCAUUGUUGCUUGCUAACUCAUCCAAGAUGAAUAUCUCAUCUUCUUCUUGCUUGUCAUACAUCAAACCAAGCUUGAGAUAUUGAUUUUCUUCUUUGAGUAACUUGUUCUCAUAUGCAAGUUUCUUGUCUUGAUCAAGUGACUCAAUCACAAUGGUCUUGUGCUUGGAUUGGUCUUGCAACUCUUUCUUGAGCAUGACAAUUUCAUCCUUGAGCUUGAUAGUGUCCUCAUAACUCUCGGCCACUACCACUUUCUUGCCCUUGCAAUCAACACAUUUGCUUGUGCUCUCCACAAGUAAGUCAUCACAAGAUGUGGCUACAUCAAGCUUAGCAACAUUGUUAGUAGCAACAUGUGUUUCAUCAAUUGCAAGUUCAUAAGCAAUCUCAAGGUUGUCAUAGUUUGCUUUUAGAGUUGUUAGUUCUUCUUUCAUUGUUCUAUAUCUAGUGAUAAGCUCAUCAUGAACACUCUCAAGUUUAUCAUGUUUUUCUUUGAGCUCUUUUAAAGAGAGUUUGAGCUCCUUGAGCUUAGUGGUCAUGAUCUCAUUUUGUUCUCUAAGCUCAUCACUAGAGUUAAGCUUUGCUAGAAGUGUAUCAUUUUCAAGUUCAAGCUUUUCAUUUUCACUUCUAGUCUUUCUUAUGACUUUUGUGUAUUUGUUUAGCAAUUUUACAAGUUCAUCAUAAGAGGGUGAUUCAUAUUCACUAUCACUUUCACUACUCUCAUCCUCACUUUGUACCUUCCGGUCACCUUUGGCCAUAAGGCAUAGGUGUGUAGAGGAUGUAGAUGGUGGUGAAGAUGAUGGUGAUGGAGCAUCGAUGGCGAUAGCGGCAACCUUCUCAUCAUCACUUUCAUUUCCGGAGGAGUCACCACUUGAGCUUUCAAUGUCGGUGAGCCAAUCACCAACAAUAUAAGCCUUGCCAUUCUUCUUCUUGUAGUGCUCCUUCUUCUUGCCACCUUUCUUCUUGUAUUGCUUCUUGUCAUUUUUCUCAUCAUCACUUGAGUCAUCUUGCUCUUUGUUCUUCUUCUUGUACUUGUCCUUCUUGGGCUUUGGACAAUGAUGAGCAAAAUGACCAAGCUCACCACAAUUGUAGCAAUCCAUCUCGGAGAUGGGCUUUCUCUUGCUACUUGUGAAGAACUUCUUCUUCUUGGAGUCAAAGUUAACUCCAUUCUUGUUGAGCUUCUUCAACAUCUUGGUGGUUCUUCUCACCAAGAGGGCAAUAGAUGCAUCAUCAUCACUUGAAGUUGAUGACUCAACUUCAAUCUUCUUGGCUUUGCCCUUGUGAGAAGCUUUAAGAGCAAAGUCCUUCUUUUCUUUCUUGGCCGACGAGGAGCCAUCUUGAGGGUUCAUGUGCAUGUACAUCUCAUGAGCAUUGAUCUUUCCCAAUAUGGUGGUUGGUGUAGCGGUGGAAAGAUCGCCUUGAUGAAGCACGGUUACUAUGUGCCCAUAUUUCUCAAUGGGAAGCACACAUAGUAUCUUCCUUGCUACAUCCGCCGUACUCAUUUGUGUAAGCCCAAGUCCAUUGAGCUCCUCUACAAUGACAUUCAAGCGAGAAUACAUUUCAUUAGCAUUUUCUUUAGGAAGCAUUUCAAAAGUAUUAAGCUUGUUCAUCACUAGGUGAUAGCGUUCCUCGCGUUCACUCUUUGUUCCCUCAUGGAGCGCACAAAGUUCCUUCCAAAGUUCAUUGGCGGUUUUAUGGCUCCGAACGCGGUUGAACACUUCUUUGCAAAGGCCUCUAAAAAUGUGGUUUUUGGCCUUAGCAUUCCACUUCUCGUUUUCUUGCUCUUGUGGAGUAAGAGCGGUGGCUCUUUCCGGAGGGGCAAACCCUUCGGUCGCGGCUUUUAGGCACUUUACAUCGCAUGCCUCAAGGUAUGACUCCAUCCAUAUUUUCCAAUACGGGAAGUCAUCCCCAUCGAACAUGGGUGGCGGUCCAUCCCCGUGAGACAUCUUUCUCUAGGCGGUGAAGCCUAAGAAUGAGCACUAGGCUCCGAUACCAAUUGAAAGGAUCAAGAUGCCCAAGAGGGGGGGUGAAUUGGGCUUCUCUAAAAAUUUAAGCAACCUAUAAGUUCCAAUUCAACCCCUUGUGCCUAGUGUGACUUAAAGAUCUACCGGAUAAAAGUUUUGCAACCUAGUUCCGAUCCUAUUCUAGCAUGGCAAUUCUAAGAAUGUAAAAGCACAAAGUAAAUGCUAGAAAGUAAAGGAGUAGUGGAAGAAAAUGCUCGGCGAUGUUUUGCCGAGGUAUCGGAGAGUCGCCACUCUCCACUAGUCCUCGUUGGAGCACCCGCGCAAGGGUCUUGCUCCCCCUUGGUCCGCGCAAGGACCAAGUGCUCUCUACGGGCUGAUUCUUCGACACUCCGUCGCGGUGAAUCGCCCAAAACCGCUCACAAGCUUGACACGAGCCACCCACAAGAACUCCGGGUGGUCUUCGUGCCUCCAAUCACCACCGAACCGUCUAGGUGAUGGCGAUCACCAAGAGUAACAAGCAAAGAACUCUCACUUGACCCAAACAAGGCACUAGAGAGUGGUGGAUGCACACUUGACUCUUGGAACUCACUAGAGAAGGAUUCUCUCAAGAAAUCACUCAAUUCUCAAUCCUCUCUAGGCUCUUGCAACUCUCUUGCUCCACAAACAAGUUUCUCUGAUGUUCAAAUGGGCAAGAGAGCUCUCAUGGACGAGGUGGAGGAGUAUAAAUACUAUCCACCAAGUCCAAAGGUCGGCCAACCGUUUUCCACUGAAAACGGGGUCACCGGACGCACAUUAUGUUGCACCGGACGCACUGCACCGAGCGUCCGGUGCUUCAUAACGGCUACCUGCUCUUUUCUCUGACAGGUCACCGGACGCUAACUCUCAGCGUCCGGUGCACCGUCCGGUGCUCGGGGAAACUUUACACGCUCCCUGCGCAUGGGACCGGACGCUACCCGGUGCGUCCGAUGCUAGCGUCCGGUGCUCAGGGGAACUUUGCAAGCUCCCUUGGUAAGGGACCGGACGCUGCCCGGUGCGUCCGGUGCCAGCGUCCGGUGCCUAACCCUAAGCACCAAACUGUUCCAACGGCUAAGGACCUCACCGGACGCACUCACAGAGCGUCCGGUGCAGCGUCCGGUGCCCCUUUGGGCACCAAACUUCGUCGAAACGCGAUCGCUCGAACACGAAGUUUGUUCCUCUCGAUCUAAGGACUAUCUCUGAGCUGCCUAGUGCUAGGUUUACCAAGUGUGCACCACACCUAAACCUAAUGCCUUGCCUAAGUCAAGCUACUAGAUCAAAGCCCCUCUUAACAGUACGGUCAAAGGAAAACAAAGUCCUAAACUACUCUAAGUGCCCUUCUUCACCAUAUGGCACUUAGACCUAGUCUAGUCUUGACGAUGUCCAUCCAUCCUUUGAAAACCGAAACGAUUUCCACUAUUAAGUAGGCAUGUACGUCCCUGUCCAUCGAGUACCUAUAUACCAUGACUUUACCUAUGACUUUGCCUCUGCAAAACACACGUUAGUCAUAGUAAUCAAUAAUGUCAUUAAUCACCGAAAUCACUAGGGGCCUAGAUGCUCUUUCACAAACUUUCUCACAGAAACUAGAGUUGGUAGGGGUUAAUUCUGUAGGCAUGCAAAAAAUGGGCCCUAAGAAUAUUGAGGACAUUUUGAAAGUGCUGGAGGAUCCAAAAUACAAAGAUGCAGCAUAAUUACAAAUAUGGUUCUCGCUAGAGAUUCAGGAUACAAUGGAUGUAAAUUACCUCUAAAUAUCGUUAAUUUAUUUUGUUUAAUUGAAAUGUGUGGCUUUUGUUCAUCUGAUAGUGCAACUUAGUCUAAACUUUCUCAAUUUUUUUAUAGCUUCCACAUGUGAUAACAUUAAACCUCAAAAAGUUUUGUGAUUUUUUGACUCUUUUUGCUAUAUUUCAUUAAUUAAUUUCUUUAAAUUGAUUUUUCCGCUACAUAAUUCUACUUUGAACUACAGUUGCAUGAAAUAAUGAAACCUAGGCAUUCGAAAAAUGAUAUUCAUGUCGAAUAAUGUAUUUUUAGACCAUAUCCAAAAACUGACCCAAAAUUUUGAAGUCUUUGUCCACAGAACAUGAUUAUCCAAGUGCAGUACAAGUGAUUUUUAAUUAUAUAAAACUCAAUCGAAAUCAGAAAAUUACCAAACUUGUUGAGGUGCCAUGUUAUCACAUGGGGAGCCUAUGAUAAAAAUUUGAAAAAUUUUAGAGCAAAUUGUGAUGUCAGAUGUACAAAACCCAAACACUUCAACAUAUGACCAUAUGUGAUCAUAUUGGAAAUGUUUGGAUUUUGUUCAUCUGAUACUGCAACUUACUCUAAACUUUCUAAAUUUUUUUUGUAGGUUCCACAUGUGAUAGCAUUAAACCUCAAAAAGUUUUGUGAUUUUUUGACUAUUUUUGCUAUAUUUCAUUAAUUACUUUCUUUAAAUUGAUUUUUCCGCUACAUAAUUCUACUUUGAACUAUAGGUGCAUGAAAUAGUAAAACCUAGCCAUUUGAUAUUCAUGUUGAAUAAUAUAUUUUUAGACCAUAUCUAAAAACUGAUCCAAAAUUUUGAAGUCCUUGUCCACGGAACAUGAUCAUCCAAGUGUGGUAGAAGUGAUUUUUAAUUAUAUAAAACUCAAACGAAAUAAGAAAAUUACGAAACUUGUUGAGGUGUUAUGUUAUCAUAUGAGGAGCCUAUGAUAAAAAUUUUAAAAAAAAUUGAAGCAAGUUGUGAUGUCAGAUGUAUAAAACCCAAACACAUCCGCAUGUGAUCACAUGUGAUCAUAUGUAGAGGUGUUUGGGUUUUGGACAUUCGACGUUGCAACUUCCUUAAAACUUUCUCAAACUUUUAUCAUAGGCUUCACAUGUGAUAACAUGACACCUCGUCAAGUUUCGUAAUUUUCCGACUUUGUUUGAAUUUUAUAUAAUUAAAAACCACCUAUACCACACCUAGAUGGUCAUGUUCUCAAACUUUUGGGUGAGUUUCUGAAAACGACCUUAAAAUAGACUCUCCAACAUGAAUAUCAUUUUUUGAAUGACUAUGUUUCAUUAUUUGAUGCACCUGCAGUUCAAAGUAGGAUUCUACGGUGGAAAAUACAAUUAAAGAAAUUAAUUAACAAAAUAUAGCAAAAAGGGUCACAAAAUCACGAAAGUUUUUAAGGUUCACUCUUAUUGCAUGUGGAGGCUAUGAAAAAAAUUUGAGGAAGUUUGGAGCAAGUGAUGACGUCAAAUGUCCAAAACCUAAAUUCAAACUUCAAAAAUAAAAAAAUUUAUCUUUGCCGACUGCCUAACGGCCUGGCAGGUGGCAAAGGGAACGGCGAUGGACGUCGUUAGUGCCCCGCCACCUUUGCCACCAGCUUUUCUUUGCCACCUGCCAGGCAGUCGGCAAAGGACGUCUUUGCCGACUGCUUUUCUUUGCCACCUGCCAGGAUAGUUGGACAGUCGGCAAAGAAUCCUUUGCCGACUGCUUUUAGAAGCAGUCGGCAAAGAGAAUGUUUGCCGACUGCUACGUCUUUGGCAGGUGGCAAAGUAUUUUAGCAGUCGGCAAAGCCCAAUUUUCCUGUAGUGAAUAGACCUGUAAAAGCCCACAUUACAUCAACGGUGCGAGAAUGCAGCACAUAGACAAAUAUUUUAAACAACAAUAGUAGCUUAAUAUUACAAGGUAUAAUGGAAGGGAUGGUAAUGUUUGUCAAAAUAGCCCAGAAUCUCAUAUAUCGUCCUUGUCAUGCAGGAUAACAGGUAGCCAGUUUCACCACUUGUCGGUUUACGCCUGGAAAAAGGGGCAUGAAUAGAAGAUCGCCUUAAAUGAAUGAUUAGCUGGACAUAAAGCACAAAAGCAUUACUCCAUACCAUCAAAGUAAUAAACUGUUUUAGGAUCACUACUAGUUUUCACCAUUACUAUAAAACAUUUUCGUAGAUUUGCGACAUGACACAUUGUCGAAAUAAGUGCCUGUUAGUGGAUAUACUCAGAAAAAAGGUACAAAUUAAUCUGUAAAUAUUUUAGUAUCCAUUUCUCCAACAACAUACAGACUCAUUGUCAGUCAUUAUGCAAACAGCUCUGUGUAUCUGAAGUCAAACACUUGAAGCUGAAAUCUCACAAGUAGGGUUCAAAAUUUCGACGAAAUUUCGCUAAAAUUUCACGAAUUUCGGUAAUUUCGAUGGUGGCUGAAAGAAAAAUCCGAAAUUUCAUUAUAUACGAAUACAUGUGCUAUAUAACUUUAGACUCAUAUUUUUUAUUGUUUAUAUUGCAUAUUCUUCUAUUCAAUAGAUGUGUAAUCAUAAAUCAUACUGAUAUUUGUUUAGAUCUAAUUUUUUAAAAAGAAAAACAUACUUCAUGUGCUAGUCUCUAAAAAAAUUUCAGCGAAAUUUUGGCCGAAUUUCAUGAAAUUCGGUAAUUUCGGUGGUGGCCGCAAUUUUUGCGAUACCGAAAUUAAAAACCUUGCUCACAAGUAUCAAUAAAUCACAGCAAAGAAAGAAAAGCACACAAAUAGCAUGUGAAUUGCAACGCACAGCAACAAAAGAAAAGCUAUCCUAGACCAGGGGAAAGGAACAGCCCUCUAUAUUGGAAGCUUGGAAUUCAUAAUUCAAACUUUCUUUUACCAAACUUGGUAUAGGAAACAAGGGAUGAAGGACUACCUCAUUAUGGUGGAACUUGCUCUUCAUGUUUUAAUCCAUGGACAACCCUCUAUAUCCGGUCUGAAUACUAUUCCCCUGCUCCUGUAAGCACACAAUGCAAAAAAUUAACAGCUAUAGGCCCAAAGUACAAGACUAAUGGUAGCGAGACCCAAAGUACAAGACUGAUGGUAUCAGGAAAGGGUGUAGAAAGGAAAUGAAGCAAAAUACACCUAGCCACAUACCACGGAUUACGAAUGCAGCAGCUGAAGACGUACAGGACGAGGGGACUAGGUCCUGGUGCACGGCCAAACAGGCUGCAAUUAUCGACUGCCGUUGACAAGCUGUCACUACCGAGGUGGUAUUGCACAAUCCUGCUGCCAGUGAAGUAGACAACAUUGUCACCCUUGAACGUAUGCAGUAUCUUGGAGGAAACACUUAUGUUCCUCUGUUCCAUGAACAAGGUAUUGCCUCCGAGGCUUUUUAUUGGGACAAACCUUUGCAGCGCAAGGUCUGCUAGUUUGUAAACAAAGAUUUGCGUCCCAUAUAAAUCAGAGUAGUCGUUACCAAGCACCAGGAUCUCUGAACCACAUUCUACCAGGCCUAAAUUAGGAUAGGGGAUCUUGUCUUCAGGGACUGUGGCAAUCAGCUCUGGCGGUGGCAGCACCCGACCUCCGCCCACCCCAUCCUGCUGCACAGGUGGGUUGAUCUGGAGGACCUGGUGUACAUCUUCUCCGAAGGGAGUGUGCAGCACGUACAGCUUGCCUUGGAACGACAAUGGAAACCCCAUUUCGUGUUCCCAGCUCGACAGUGUCCAUUGCUGGUCCAGGGGGGUAGCAAAGGCCGCACGGCCUACCUCAGGAAGUGCAAGCGUGACGGUCAUGGCUCCGGCGGCGUCGAAGGAAACGGAAGCGGAGACGAUUCUUGCAAGCUUCCUGAUCCUGUACUCAGGAGGACAGCCGUGGAGCUGCGGGCCCAGGUGCGGGAGGAGCGUCCCUAGGGGUGGAAGCUCGGCGAAGUCACCGGUGAAAGGGUGGAGGAGGCGGACGGCGCCGCCGUAGUCCGGGUCCGGGUCCCGCACCAGCAGCAGGAGGCCGUCGAUCGAGUCGACGGCCCAGUAGCUGUCGCCGAGGAGCGGGACGUGGGCGCGGACCAGGGCACCCGUGUCGAGGUGGAGGAACCGGGCGCAGCCGCCCAGGUCUGGGUGGCCGGGGUAGAUGCGGUGGCCCUCGGGAAACAUCAUCCAGCGCCGCGGGUGGAAGCGCCGGUCGGCCAGGCCGCGGCCGCGCGGGGAGUCGGCGCCGGAACGCCAGCUGGUGCAGACGGCUCGCAAGCGGACGUAGUCCAGCAGGUCGCCGCAGGCCAGCACGCGCCACGCCACCGCGCGGAUCAGAUCUUCGGGCAGCAACGCCCAGUAGCGAGGCCCGAUGUCCCAGGUGCGGCGGCGGCGCCGCCGGAGGUGACGACAUCUUGCUUGAGUUCGUCGAUCUGAUCCGAUCCGAUCCUGCCCCCCCCCCCCCCCCCCCUUGUGAUCGCCGAUCCACCAAGACGGCAAUCGGGACAGAAAGAGAAGAACGCAGGAUUGAAAUUCUCGCUUACGCGAUCCUCGAAUCAAACCUCAAAGCAUGGUGACCGAUCGAUCGGUUGGCCGGCCGGCGCGGCGCGGUGCGAGGGAGAAUUGCAGGGCGACCAACAGUGACAAACCCUAAAUCAGAAAUGGCCCAGGCUACUAGGCCUUAACGGUAGAAUUUGGGGAAGGGAGCUAGCUAGAUGAGAUCGAGGUGGCGUCCGGCAAGCCAGCAGGUAGGCUGCAUUCUGGUCAUCCCCACCGCCAAGUGAGCCAAAUCUCAGCCUAGAGGCUUGUUUAGUUCCAAGUUUUAAAGUUUUAGAGUAUCACAUCGUUAUAUAGAGGUGUUGUGUGUGGUAUUUAGAUAUUAAUUAAAAAAACAAAUUACAAAAUCUGUUAGUAAACCACGAAAUAAAUUUAUUAAGUCUAAUUAAUCUAUCAUUAGCACAUAUAUUACUGUAGCACUUUAUUAUCAAAUCAUAGACUAAUUAGGUUUAAAAGAUUUGUUCGCAAAGUAGUCGCAUAUAUGUGCAAUUAGUUAUUUUUUUAAUCUAUAUUUAAUGCUUCAUGCAUAUGUCAAAACAUUUGAAGGAAUGUGAUGUAAACUUUUGGAGAGGAACUAAACAAGGCCUAAGUAUUUUUCUUUUUGAACCUAGGAUUUUCAUAACUUAUGUGCUCACAAUCGGCAGCAACCAUUACAACAAUCAGAAAUAGAGUUCGAAAUGAUCUCAUUGUCUUCAGCACAGUUAUACCCCCAAAUUAGCCAACUCGUGGGCUACUGUAUUACAUUGUCUGGAGCACACACUUCAAACUGAAUGAAAUUGGUAGAGACUUUAAAACUUCAACUCGGGCCUUGUUUAGUUCCUGAAAAAUUUUGCAAAAUUUUUCAGAUUCCCCGUCACAUCGAAUCUUUAGACGUAUGCAUGGAGUAUUAAAUAUAGAUGAAAAUUAAAACUAAUUAUACAGUUUGAUCGAAAUUGACGAGACGAAUCUUUUGAGACUAGUUAGUUUAUAAUUGAACAAUAUUUGUCAAAUACAAACGAAAGUGCUACUAUUCCUAUUUUACAAAAUUUUUUGGAAGUAAACAAGGCCUCGUUCACCAAGCCUUCCUCUGGUCUGUCAUAGGCUUCGACUAAAUUCAGUGCGUGAACGACCAACAGAGCAUCGGACUCCAGAAUCAGCCUUUCAAUACUAAGGUUUAACGCUGUGUGCAUCCCCUGAAGGCAGGCUAUCACUUCGACGUGAAAAGCAAUGAGUAGAUGACUAACUCUUCCUCUUCCUGUUGUUACUAUAUAUAUCUCCAUCGCUGUCUCUGAUAACAAAGCCCCAACUGCCUGUGUCGCCGCCAGCUCGGAACGAAGUGUCACAGUGUAGUUUUUAACACUCCAUUCGGUGGUUUGUUACAUUGGCCUGGCAAAUUCGCAAUUCAUUUGGAGUAUAUGCAAUAGUACUACUAACAUUGUGUUAAGCGUCACGCGGUCUAUACAUAAGUGACUCCUGACUCGCAAACUCUAACGUACAAAUUACAGGAUAGAACCAGUGGCUGCAACAGAACGUGUCAUGCUAGACAGCCUAGACUGAGGCUGCUACUGGCUCCGGCGCGUCCGUUGGGCGGUGGGAACUCUCCGGCGAGGUGAAGAAGGGCGACACACACCAUCGCCUGCUGCGGCGGCUCGUCCAUCCCAUCGCUCUCUUCCUUGUGCGCGACCCGCCUCUCGUCGUCGGAGUCCGCGGCGGAGCUUGGCCGAGGACGGCCGCGGAGGCAUGACCAUGAGGCACGGCGGCGGGAGCUGCGGCGAGGCCGCCAUCGUCCGCGGGCUCUCGGUCGUCCUAGGAGGCAUCGAGAGCAGCACCCCCGGGAGACGUGCGUGCGCCACGGCGAGGUGCGCCGCAGGCCGCCGUCUCGCCAUGAUGACGAGGGAUCGAGAGAGAGGCGCCGCCGCACCAGCAGGAGCGCCGCAAGCCACCGACGACAUCGGAAGAAGAAGCGGAGAGGCCAGGUGCAUCAUGUCGUAGUACGUUAUGGGAUUAUAUUGAGUGAUUAACAGUUACUUACUACUAGUUCCUAUUGGGCACAAAGUAGGUCCAAGAGUUGCAACGUAUAAAUAAUGAGCUCAGUCAGCUAUGUAAAACUUUGGAUCAAACAGAAAUUCCAUCAGUGUUAUAAAAAAAUUAGAAGAUGCAAUCAUAUAGGCACACAAAGACAUGUCGGCCAAAAUUAGGGGAAUAAAACGACAAUUAACAGUUUGGUCCAAGAGUGACAACUAUAAACCAUGAGCUCAGUCAGCUCUGUAUCACUUUGAAUCAAACAGAAUUUUUGGUGUUACAAAAAUCAACAGAAGCAAUCAUAUAUAUAUGCACACAAAAGACAUAUAUAGUGUCAGGACUCAGGAAGGGCAGUUUCUAAAAACGUACUGUACAGGCUCUCUAACAUGCCGGCAGUUGUGAUCCUCGGAGCAUCUCCAACAGUUAUGUAAUUGGACUUUGCAUUCUUGAAAUUUGUCAAAAACCUCAAAAAUGGCUCCCCAACAGUUUUGCAUUUGACUUAUGCAUUUUGGCAAACUUAGCAUUUGAUAGACCAAACUUAGCAUUUUUGCAUAGGCAUAAUGACUUGGCAAUUUUGAUAUCCCUAGAAUCUUGGAAUCUUGGACUUCUUGUUGUGCCCGCACUCACCACGUCGGUUGUUUCCCGCGAUACGAGUCCUCAUCGCGCGCGUUUAUUCCCUUCCCCCCGCGCCGCCUUCUAUUUUCUGCGCGCCGCCUCCGUCUCUUGCAGCGACGCACGAGGCUACGCGAGAUCGAUCUUCGACGCGCGGGGUAGGAGAUCGAGCGCAGCGACUGGUUUUGUUGCAGCGACGAGAAGGGUAGGAGAUCGAACAGCCCAAUGCCUAUCGUCCGCCAGCGUCGCCAGAUGCCGCAACCUCACCCUCCCGCUCGACCACCUCCGACGUCCGCCGAGAAAUUAGGACGCGGACGACACGGACGCGCGACGCCUGAGACAAUUGGCGGCGACGUGCGAACGAGUUGCACGCGACGGGCGCCCGCGCGACGCGCAAGAAAAGUUACCGCAAAUAUGAAAGAUUCCCGAACAAAAAUAGCUGGGUCCACUAUUUUGGAAAAUGUCAAGUCAAAAAUGACAAACACUUGGAGAUGGACUUAUUUUUCCUUUGGCAAAAGGUUUAGGGACUUGGCAAAUUUCAACAAAUGACAAAUUUCAAUUGCAUAACUGUUGGAGAUGCUCUUAAUCGCUUGCAUUUGCCAAACCAACCAUCUUGGGCAUGUUCCGGUCCUCCUUAAAUCUCUCAAGGACCGUCCCCUUGACAAGCUCUGGUUUUUCAUCUCGUGCAUUCAUUUGUAUUCCCCAACAUUCAGUAACUUCUUGGCUGAAUCUGUUUGUCUUGGAAAGGGAGGGCUUUGUAAACAACAAUUCUACAAGUAAAUGAGUGCCCUUGAUCGAUAUUUGCAGAUAAAAAGAGUCCGAAAUGGUGUGGCUCCCCUCCAAAACUAAUAUCAUUAGGUAUCUUCUCAGACCUGAAGUUUAUAGCGUACUGCCAGGAUAAGCUAAUGAUGUAAGCUACUCCUUCCAAAUUGUAAGACAUUUUGGCUUUUCUAGAUACAUUGUUUUUACUAUGCAUCUAGAUAUAAUGUAUAUCUAAGUGCAUAACAAUAGCCAUAAAUCUAAAAGCCAAAAAGUCUUAUAGUUUGGAACCGAAGAAGUACCGUUUAUAAUUCUGGAGAUGCUGAGUCAAAAUACAAACGUGAAGAAAAGUAAAACAGAGCAGAUGCUUGAACUGAGCAAGGCAUACCCAUUGCAAAUUUUUGUUUGCUCAUGUUGGCCGGAAAAUGGAUGCUUGAGGAUAUAACUUGAAGAGGAAUGUCUUCAUGUCACCAUAAAAAAAAUUGAAAUAAAAUGUCACCAUAAAAAUCGUUGUGCCUUUCCCAAGGCUAGGAUGCAAAUCCACCAUAAACUGAUCCUUCUGUACCUUCAACAAUCAGAACAGUCUUACAUCUCCAUUCCUAUAAACACAAGAUACAUAUCCAAGAAUUGCAUAUAUAGUUCCAAAAGUUAUUAAUAUAGAAAGCAUAGGCUGUGAGAGGGCAAGUAUAAGGACUCUGAUGAAUCAUGAUAAUAGGUUGUUAAACCGACAAGCUUGUGCACAUUAUUAGCAAUGAGAACUGGCACUGGCAGUCAAAGAAAAUAACUGAAAUCAUGCAAUGAGGGUGGAAUUUUAAUUUCAGUAUGCCAUUUCCAUAUAUAAUAACACACCUUUAUAAUUAUGGACAAGUUGAAGUUCCACUUCAGAAGAUACGAUUUACAAAAUUGAUAAGUACUCACGUUACUUUGCCUAAGAAAGUGUUGAACCUUUGUCCAUGAAGAGAACUACGAUAUAGAAGCUUCCAUUCUUGCACCUCAUGUUGGGAAAAAGCAGCCUUCGAUAUGGCAGGCAUACACUUUAUUCAGAAGUACCAAUUAGUGGAUAUGUUUUGAGAAUUUUUAGGAUAAUGAAGCACUGGUACUUUAAACCCUGAUCUGCCUGCAAACAAACUAAAAUCUGAAAAAGCAUGACAUAAUACAUCAGAAACAUUAUGUACAGCAUAUGGUCAUCCCCAUUAGGGACUUAUCAUGUUGCAAUGUUUCAAAAAGAUUCAUAGGAGAACAUGUAUAACAAUUCACUUUUAAAUUCGUCCUAUAUUUCAAGAAAGGAAUAGGCAAGCAGUCGAUCUGAAAUUGUUCAUCAUGUGCUGACAGUUAUACUUGUGUUUUUUCAUAUCUCAACAUCAAAGAUGAAUACAGAAUUGAAUUUCUGCAGGUUUAUUCAACUUUGCAGAUACUGCAUAUACAUAGAGCCAUUUUAUAUUGUACUUUAAUGAUGAAAAUGCUGAAUUUAGGAGUACCGGCAGAAUGACAAGAAUAAGGCAUACCUGAAUCAGGUGGCAUCAACAAAUUCCCAAGGAAUUUCCUCAUUGAUGGCAAGAGGAUCACCAGUUCAUGAAGUCUGAUAUUGAUAUAACUUCUCUGAUACCCCUUCAACAUCCUUGGAAAAUACUGCAGAAUUGAGGAGUGCUUCAAAUGUUCUGUUGUUGUAACCUUCCCCAACUUCUUUGUUUUCUGUAAAUAUAGUUUCGUCCGAUUUUUACAACACCUUUCAUUUGAGUGCGCAACUGUCACUCAUAAAAUUCUGGUGCAGAAAUGAAAAGUUCAACCCCGAGUCCCCGACGUGAAAUGAUGUUACGGAAGUCAAUAAUACUAUUGUGAUGUACUAAGUAAAACAGAAGGGCAGAAAGAAGAUGAUGUAACUUUUGAUUAACAAUUGCCUGCUAUACUUUGCAUCACUUAUUAAUGCAAUUGUAACAGUUUAAAAAAAUACUUGUGCUGAACCAAGCAAAAACUAACGUCCGCUUGCGCCGAACCCAGCUCUAUGGCAGAGCACGUGCCUCUUCAUCUAUCUGUUGGCGGUGAGCACGGACCUCAACGACGACGAGACGCUGAGGACGCGCGUUGCGCGUUGGCAUGAGCUUCACUACAACAGCUACUCUGGCUAGGGUUCGUUCGCAGCCAAGAAGACAAGAAUCACGGACCUCGGCUUUUGGGGAAACAAUAACCAUCCACAUCUUGGGGAGAUUCGGCCGGAUAAGGCUGAGCUGAUUGCAAUACAACCUCUGUGACUAGUUGCCCGCCCAAAAUCCAAGAUUUACAAGCUCUUUUUUUUUACAAGAAGAAUCCUCAGCGAAUCUUGUUUGCAAAGGCUGGAUUUGUCCCCGCGCCGCUACUGCAGCUGCACAAGAACUGAAGGCUGCAGCUCCCGUGCCCAGCACGCACACCGAUGGUGUUCCACGGAACGCCUCACCGGGAAUCAUCGGGUCCGAACGUUCGGACCCGAUCGCUCUACCGAUGACGCACGGGAAUAGCUGAUAGUGCAGAUGACGCGCGGGAAUAGCUGGUAGUGCCGAUGACUGGUAGGCGGGAAUAGCUAGGCACGGGUAAAGAUUGCCAAACGGGCCGCAUAAAACGGGCUGGCCCGAGUCCGGUGCGAAAAAACCCGGCCCUAACACGGCCCUAGCCCGGCCCGAUGCCGUGCCCGUGCCUCGGCCGUGCAGUCGGCCCGUAGUGCCAGCCCGGGCACGGCCCGCUCCAACGGGCGGCACGGCUUAGCCGUUGGAUGAGAGAGGAGGGAGCAGGGCCGUUGGAUUUAGGGCGAGGCGGGGGCGCAGGGCUGGCCAUAUAUAAGCCGGCCGCUGCGGCCGCUCCCUCCGCAAACCCUAGCUCCUCUCAGUCUUCUCUCUCGCGCCCUCGCCCGUUCGCAUCUCGCUGGUCGCUCCUUGCCCGCAGCGGCGCAGGCCGCUUGCAGCUCGCUCAUCGCCCUCUUGCUCUCUCGCUCGUCGCCGUCCCCUGCUUCGUCGUAUCCAUGGCGAACUCCGGCGAGUAAGAGGUCACAUCUGGUGGGUUUCAUCCUCAAUCUCUACGCUCUCCCCUCCUCUCUGCCCUCAAUCUCCCUCUUCUUGAUCAGAUUUGGUGGUUCCCCCCCUCAAUUUGCAUCUGUUCUCUUGUUCUUGAUCCCUGAAAGUCGAUUCCUCCCCGACUGCUCCCUAUCUUUUGUCUGUCGUUCUCAUCACCGGCUAGCGCACCCUCCAGGGCUCCGGUCUCCGUUGAGGUACCGAGGGUGUGCUCACGGUCCUUCCCGUCAUUUCUGGUGCUCCGGCUGCAGAGGUAAUCCCUAACCCUAAUUCCUAACCCUAACCCUAAUCCUAACUACUUGCUUUGUUCCCUUUUUCAUUGAUGCAGUCGUUGAGGUACCGGAGACGGCAAGGAUGGCCCUAGACGACGAUGAAUGGGAGUUUGAUCACUCGCAGUGCGGGAUGCCCGGGGAUGAUGAGGACGACAAUGUCCAAGACGACGUUGUUGCGGCCUUUGGGCGGUCUGCUGCUGAUCCCCAUCCCCGUGAUGAUGAUGGCAUCCCGGUGGAUGCGGCUGCAGCCGAUCCCGAGGGCGACGGUGGCGAUAGCGAGGUAGCAAGCUCCAAUCGGCCUUCUACCUCUACUGUCUGGGAGGAUUUUGACAAGUUGUGCAAGAAGGUUCCAGGUAAGAAGAACACGGUCAGGUAUGGUGCUGUCUGCAAACAUUGCAAGAAGAAAUACUCUGCUUAUUCUGCUAAUGGUACUGGGCAUCUUACUCGACAUCUUAAGGUUUAUGUUCAGCGUCAUGAGAAAUGUCGCAUGUCUCAAACUCAUAUUGGUUUUAAACCUGAUGGUUCUUGAAAGCCCUAGUUUGGUUUUGGAUAAUUGAUGAAACCCUAGUACUAACCUCUAUGCUAAGUAUGUGUAGACUUAAUGAGGUUGGUACAUGCCAAGUGAUGGAGCAAGAGAUGAUCAUGGUGAUGAUGGUGAUGACCACAAGAUGAUCAAGUGCUUAACUUGGAAAAGAAGAAAGAGAAAAACAAAACCCUAUGGAGAUCAAGGCGUCCGGUGCAGACAGUGCCUGGCCCAGCUUUUCGGCGCUUUUCGAGAAAAUGAAGUGCAUAUUUUCUAUUGCGCCGGUGGGAAAUUUGGAGAAGUCGCGGGAGUGUUUCUCGCUGAGAAAACACUCACCGGACGCUGGCUUCUGGAGCACCGGACGCUGCGUCUGAGCGUCCGGUGCAGACAGUGCCUGGCCCAGCUAGGGUAAGGCACCGGACGAUAGGCACCGGACGCUGGCUUGAGCGUCCGGUGGUUAGCGUCCGGUGUGCGGGCGUUUUGCGACCCUCUCUGCGCAUGGGUCCGGUGAGCACCGGACGCUGAGGGUGCGUCCGGUGGCUUGCGUCCGGUGACCCUGCGAGUUUGCGGAACUCUCUGCGCAUGAGUCCGGUGCGCACCGGACGCGUCCGGUGCCCCUUUAAGAGCGUCCGGUGACCCCGUAUUUCGCCCAGUGAAAGACCCAACCGCUCUAUUUGUUUGAGGGGCUAUAUAUACGUGUUUGGCCGGCUUGGGGCUCAGACUCUUAGCAUUCUAACAUACUUGACAUCCUUGUGAGCCUAAGCAAACACCUCCCACUCAUCUCCUUCAUAGAUUAUACAUCUUUGUGAGAUUGGGAGUGAUUCCAAGUGCAUUUGCUUGAGUGAUUGCAUCUAGUGGCACUUGGGGAUCGUUUUAGCUGCGGUUUUCUUGUUACUCUUGGUGGUUGCCGCCACCUAGACGGCUUGGAGCAGCGGAGGAGGAUUGGCACGAGUUGGUGAUUGUUCGUGGCCAUCUCCCGGUGAUUGUGAAGGGUCUUGUACCUUCCCCGGCGGAGAGCCAAAAGGUAACUCUAGUGGAUUGCUCGUGUCAUUGAGUUACCUCACUUGUGGGUAGGUUCUUGUGGUGUCCUAGUGAGGACGAGGUUCGUGCUACACCUCUUAGCCACCGAACCACCAAGUGUUGGUCGACACAACGGGGACGUAGCGUGCCGGCAAGCACGUGAACCUCGGGAGAAAAAUUCUUUGUCUUCAUUGUGUUUAUUCAUUGGAUUUCUCCCGGUGAUUGGACUUCAUAUUAUUGAUUGGUUCAUCCCCUCUACGCGGCGGUAUAAAAAUCAAACCAUCUCUUUUUACAUUCCCGCAAACUAGAGUAGCUUUCUUACUUGUAUAGAAACUUUAGGUAGCUCUCUAGUGUAAGUAGUGACAUAGCUCUUGUGUGCCUAGAGAUUAUAUCAACUAGAAUUAUUGGAUAGGUGGCUUGCAAACACCCCUUUAGAGCUAGAGCAAAAAGCUUCGCUUUGUUAUUUACUAACCUCUUGCUCUAGUGAGUUUGUAGAAUUUUUAAAUAGGCUAUUCACCCCCCCUCUAGCCAUAUUAGGACCUUUCAAGUGGUAUCGGAGCCGUAGUCACCGUUUUGUGAAGGCUUAACAACCUCGGUGCUCAAAUUAUGGCUCAAAUAGUGUUCAACCAUGUUGGGGGCAAACCACCAUUCUUUGAUGGCACAAGUUCCUUUGACUAUUGGAAAAGAAAGAUGAAAAUGUACCUUGGAUCAAUAAAUGAUAGAGUGUGGGAAGUGACGGAAAAUGAUUUUGUGAUCCUUGACCCCGCUAAUCCCACCGACAAUGAGAGAGCAAACAAGCAAUGCAAUACUAUGGCUCUCAACACAAUCUAUAAUGGUAUUGAUUCAAAGGUGUUUGAACAAGUCAAAGAUCUUGAGAAAGCAAGUGAAGUGUGGACAAGAUUAGAAGAAACAUAUGAGGGCACUACAACGGUAAAAAGUGCCAAGUUGUACAUGCUCAAGGACAAGCUAUCCAACUUCAAGAUGAAGGAUGAUGAGUCAAUCCCGGAGAUGUUCUAUAGGCUCCAAGUCAUCAUCAAUGAUCUCAAGGGCCUUGGUGAGAAAGUGAAGGAUGAGGACUUCAUUCACAAGUUCUUGAUGUGCUUGCCCAAGAGGUUCAAGACAUUGAGAACAAUCAUCUUUAGAGGUGGAUUGACCGGUGUAUCUCCAAAUGAGGUACUUGGAGAUGUCAUGACCGAAGAUCAAUACAAUGACAAUGAUGAUGAUGAAGUCAUGAAGAAGGAUGAUGAUGACAAGAAGAAGAAGAGUGUAGCAUUCAAAGCUAGCUCUUCAUCCAAGAGCAAGAACAAGGGCAAGGCCAAGAAAGAAGAAUCAAGUGAUGAGGAGUGCUCCAAUGAUGAUAGUGAUGAUGAAGCAUUAGCACUCUUUGUCCGCAAGUUUGGCAAGAUGAUGAAGAAGAAGGGCUACCAUACAAGAAAGAGAAGGGACAACUCCAAGACCAAGGAAUAUGUGAGGCUAUGCUACAAGUGUAAGAGCCCCGAUCAUAUUGUGGCGGAUUGUCCAUACAAUAGUGAUCAUGAUGAGCAUGAGAAGAAGAACAAGAAGGAGAAGAAAGAAAAGAAAGAGAAGAAGAUGGUCUUCAAGAAGAAGAAGAAGGGUGGAUCCUAUGUUGUGACAUGGGACAGUGAUGCCUCUUCGGAUGAUGAUUCAAGUGAUGAUGACAAAGCAUCCAAGAAGAAGGCACUUGCUAGCAUUGCUAUCAACAACAAGCCAUCACUUUUCGACACUCCUUCAUGCUUCAUGGCCAAGGGCCACAAGGUACAAUAUGAUGAUAGUGAAAGUGAAAGUGAAAAUGAACAUGAUAGUGAUAGUGAUGAUGAAAAUGAAUUCACUAAUGAACAACUCAUGGACAUGCUAGAACAAGCCGAUUCACUUAUUCAAUCUAAAAACAAGAAGUGCAAAGAAUUGGCCAAGAAGUUAAAAGCUCUUGAGCAAUCCUUUGAUGAGCUCAAUGCUAAUCAUGAGAAGCUAGUGGAAGCCCAUGAGAAGCUUGGCAAGGCUCACACCAAGCUUGAAAAAGCUCACUCCUUGUUAUUAGAAGAGAACAAGGAAAAGGUUGUUGUAUCAUGUGAUGUGGGCACAACAUGUGACUUAAUUAAUGAAUCAACCAACCUACCUAUUAUUGUUGCCACUAACUCUUCUUGUAGGUCUUCAUCCACCACCACCAACUCUACCUCUACUUCUAGUGCUAGUGUCACUUGUGAUACCUCACUAAAGGUUGAGAAUGAGACUCUCAAGAGAGAGGUGGAUGAGCUCACUCACGCCCUAGGCAAAGCCUAUGGUGGUGAGGCCCGCUUGCUAAAGUGCUUGGGUAGCCAAAGGUUUUCUCUCAAUAAAGAGGGAUUAGGCUAUACCCCCAAGCAGGGCAAGAAAGCCUUUGCAACUCACAAGCCUAGCUUUGUGAAGAGCAAUGGUCGGUAUUGCAACAAAUGCAAGCAAGUUGGGCACCUAGAGCUUAAUUGCAAUAAAAUGAACAAGAACAAGAAAAUUGCUAAUGUACCUUACAUUCCUUUUGAUUCUUGUUAUGUGCUUACCAAGGGUGAGAAGGGUGUGCAUGCUAAGUUUGUUGGUACACCAAUUGUGGGUCCAAAGAAGAAGGCCAUUUGGGUACCAAAGAGCUUAGUCACUAACCUCCAAGGACCCAAACAAGUAUGGGUACCUAAGAAACAUUGAUUUGUUUUGUAGGUAAACUAUAAAGCCGGAGGAAGGCAUUGGGUGCUUGAUAGUGGGUGCACACAACACAUGACCGGUGAUUCAAGAAUGUUCAAUUCAAUCAAUCCAAAUGAUGACAAUGGUGUUGAUAGUAUCACAUUUGGUGACAAUGGCAAAGGCAAGGUCAAAGGGCUUGGUAAAAUUGCUAUAUCCAAUGACUUGAGCAUUUCCAAUGUGCUACUAGUAGAGAGCUUGAACUUCAACUUGCUAUCCGUAGCUCAACUUUGUGAUCUUGGUUUCAAAUGCAUAUUUGGAGUUGAUGAUGUAGAGAUCAUAAGUGUAGAUGGCUCAAACUUGAUAUUCAAAGGCUUUAGAUACGAGAAUCUAUACUUGGUUGAUUUCAAUGCUAGAGAAGCUAAAUUGUCAACAUGCUUGCUCACUAAAUCUAGCAUGGGUUGGUUAUGGCAUAGAAGGCUUGGUCAUGUUGGAAUGAAACAAUUAAACAAGUUAGUCAAGCAUGAUCUUGUUAGAGGCUUGAAAGAUGUCACUUUUGAGAAAGAUAAGCUUUGUAGUGCAUGUCAAGCCGGAAAACAAGUUGGCAACACUCAUCCAAAGAAGAGCAUCAUGAGUACAUGCAAGGCAUUUGAGUUGUUGCACAUGGAUUUAUUUGGACCAACCACGUACACAAGCAUUGGUGGAAAUAAAUAUGGAUUUGUGAUAGUGGAUGAUUUCACAAGAUACACAUGGGUGUUCUUUCUUAGUGACAAAAGUGAUGCUUUUGCAACCUUCAAAUCAUUUGUCAAGAGAAUACAUAAUGAGUUUGAAACAACUAUCAAGAAAGUGAGAAGUGACAAUGGAAGUGAAUUCAAGAAUACAAGAGUAGAUGAGCUUUGUGAUGAAUUUGGCAUUAGGCAUCAAUUCUCGGCCAAGUAUACUCCACAAUCAAAUGGUCUUGUUGAGAGAAAGAAUAGAACCUUGAUUGACAUGGCAAGAUCAAUGUUGAGUGAGUACAAUGUGAGUCAUUCUUUUUGGGCCGAAGCAAUCAACACGGCUUGCUACUAUAGCAACCGACUCUAUUGUCACCCAAUGAUGGAGAAGACACCAUAUGAGCUCUUGAAUGGUAGAAAGCCCAACAUUGCAUAUUUUCGUGUUUUUGGUUGCAAAUGCUACAUAUUGAAGAAUCAACACCUGCGGCACAAACCCAUUUUUGACCAAUUGGUCCGUAUAUCAUAGGCGACCGAACGGCCGCCCCCCGUCUUACUAGACCAACCUGCUAUAAUUAUUCCAUAAACACCUAGCGAAGAUAUGGCAAACAAAUAAAGUAGCCCUAUGUUCGGAUCUGACAAUACCAUACCAUAAUCAAAAGGUGGUAGUUUCCCAUCAUAAGGCUUUCCAUCUAUAGAUUGAUUGAGCCAUUACCCACCAAGGAUCCCAUUCGUUCAGAACUCAGUUGACUGCUUCUAUAGAUAAGGCGGAACGUCCUUAGUUCAGCAUUGUGAGCCACUUAUUUCUCCGAAAUCUGAGAUCAGAGUGAUUUUCCUCCUUUUUCCCAAAUAGUCGACGGUCUUACACCAUUGGGAUACUUCGGAUAAACUGGUGGUUAGGAACCAGGUAGGAAAAGCAAUCCCUAGCCCCGCAGGGCCAGGUCGGAUACGCGGAUCAGUGUGUAGAAACAACCCUCAGAUAGAAAGCAGGUUAGGAAGAUAUCACGGCUAAACGUUCAGCUUCAAAUUUUAGAGAUGACCCAGUAGCCAAUGAUUUCAGGUUUUCUGAUCUCACUCAUUCUAAGAAACGUCAGUGCUUAACCUUUCAGUACAUGAUAGUUUGAUAGUUAAGAGUUUCCAUUUUCUGGCUUAUGCUCUUUCAUUUUUCCCUUUACCAUAAUUCCCUUAUUCUGGCUAGGGUAUGUCAGAAGGUUGUUAGGCUUGAAACUGCUUUUCUUUCUUUUCUUUUGAUAAGAAAUUCUCCAUGUCUUUGGAUAAAAUGCAUCAAGCUUACUGCCUUCAUUGCCAUGACAAGGUCUUUGAUGUCUUCCCUCAACUCAAGCAGGCAGAUAUCCAAAUGACAUGUCUUAUUUUACAAUAACCCAUGUUUGUAGCAAUGAAAUACCACAACCUACCCGAUAUGAUAUAUUAGAAUUAGAAUUCUCUAUGAUAUGCCUUCCCUAUAAAGGACCCGAAAUACCUUGCUUACGUAUCAUUGGAAAGUGCAUUAAUAUAAAUACCGCAGUAAGCAGAGGUAGUACAAAGGUAUCCUAUCAAGGUUAAGGAGUCAACUGAGCAUCUCAGCGGCGGGAUUGAAUACCCGGAUCGAAUCAGAAUUCAUGCCGCCCGCCUUGAACAAAUAGAAUAGGAGGCGUGGGCCACAGGUCGCACAUAAGCCAUCGGGUCGCACGACAGAAGAACACCCAACAUAAAGAUGCACACUCCUCCAUGUGAAAUAGAAAGAUUCAUCUUCACUUUUUUGUAGUAGUCGUGACCAACAGCCAUCAACAGUCGGCUCGUUGGUGGAACCAGUGAACCACGCGAGCUGGUUAGAUGCGUGGGGCAGAGGGCUCGUAGUACCCCCCUUUUCUUGAUCCAGCCUUUUCUUCGCUUCGGUAGUUAAUCACCUAAAAUCCAAGGGGGUCUGGCCUGCGCGCCAUACCUAUACCCAUACAGUGCCAGGCAGGCGGUGGACUCAUUUUUGGGUUAGGGAAGGGAAGAAGGGGCCUAAGCACGGCAGAUGCCGUACAAGAUUGAGUGCCAGCACGUAGCUGUGCUUUCAGCAAGAAUUUCACCAUUGGGAGCCGGUGCCUUUCGAAGCACUUUCACGUGUGAACCGAAGUCGUCUUGCCGAACUCAAGACCCACGGAGACCUACCUAUAGUGACGUCAAAGUACCAGUGAGCAUGGAGGUUUGGUUAGGCUUGGUUACGAGUCGAGUUGGCGGCGGAGGAAGACUCGGCAUGAAGGCCAGCCGCCCGGUGGUGUGGUACGUAGUGGUAAUAGUACGCGCCCCGCUCCGAAACAAAGAAAAAGGUGCGUGCCGCACUCACAAGGGUGUUCAUGAUCCAUCUUAGCCUUUUUGAUUCCCCUAUUGGUAGUACCCACUAGCAGAUGUGUGUUUCUAUGGCAUAAAUAGUUCCUGGACUUCCCUUUUCUUUGCACUUACUUCGACUUCGAUCUGUCCCUGGGUCUCACCACUUCCUUCCUCAAGGCGUAGUCUAAUAGACCAACUAGAGGAGAGGAGUCCUUCAUGAAUCGCCUUGCCUUGCUUAAAGAGGUUUCUGACGCCCGUGGAACUCUUGUUUUGAGGAAGCAAUGAACAUUGUCUUUUCCAUUCUCAAUAAAUGAGGAAGGAGGGGUGAGGUCCUCACUUGCGAGUGAGGCAAGGCUUUCUUAAUUCUAGCUUUCUUUUUUUGCGUGCUUUUCGCCUGCCUUCCCGACCACGGAUAGGCUACGGGGCUUUGCACUUCGGCCCCUGUGAAUACCACAUCAAGGUGACAGGAUUCGAACCUAUGGCCCUCUGUACCCAAAACAGAUGCGCUGACCAGACUGCGCUACACCUGGUAAAAGUGCUCAUCACUACUACUAUAUAUAAUAUAGUAAAUUACAGACAACACUCAAUGCUAAUGAGUGGAUCAAGUCAUUUACUAGUCAAUGAACUGACUAAACCCUGUCUGUUCUGGGAAUUGACCCACUUAACUAUACUCUUAGGGCAAGCCGCCCUGUGGUAAUUAACUCCGUAAAAUCUGUGGUAAAUCGUACCUCAAGUCAAAGGGCCUCGUUAUAGUUGGAGGCAACACAACACACGCUGAACUCAACUUGCCUAUUUUGUGACCAAUAAAAGACCAACGAAACGACGAGUGAGAAAGAUAAAGAACGCGACGUGGUGACGACUUAUUCCUAUCCCAGCGAGGAACUACGGCAUGUUUCGAGCUAAAAGCUCUGGCACUAGAUUGAGUAAAUUUGAAAAGAAAUGUGAUGAAGGCUUCUUACUUGGUUACUCCACUACUAGCAAAGCUUAUAGAGUUUGGAAUUUGGCUAGUGGUACUCUUGAAGAAGUGCAUGAUGUUGAGUUUGAUGAAACAAAUGGCUCUCAAGAGGAAGAUGAGAAUCUAGAUGAUGUGAGAGGCACUCAAUUGGCCGAUGCAAUGAAGAAUAUGGACAUUGGUGAUUUAAGGCCUAGAGAGGUGAUUGAUGUUGAAGAUGACAAAGAUCAAGUGCUUCCUACCUCUAAUGUGCAAACUAGUAGCUCUCAUGAUCAAAAUCAAGCUAGUACAAGUGGUACUCAAGUGCAAGAUCAACAAGCUAGUACAUCAUCUCAUGAUCAACCAAGUUCAAGCAAUCAAGAGCAAAUACUCCAACCAACAAAUAUUGCAAGAGAUCAUCCAUUGGAUCAUAUCAUAGGUGAUAUUCAAAGAGGAGUGCAAACUAGAUCAAGAUUAGCAUCAUUUUGUGAGCAUUUCUCCUUUGUGUCUCACAUUGAGCCAAAGAAGAUUGAAGAAGCAUUGAGAGAUGUUGAUUGGGUUAAUGCCAUGCAUGAAGAGCUUAAUAAUUUCAAGAGAAAUCAAGUAUGGGAAUUAGUUGAGAGGCCUAGUGAUCAUAAUGUCAUUGGCACUAGAUGGGUCUUUCGCAACAAACAAGAUCAAGAUGGGAUAGUUGUAAGGAACAAAGCAAGAUUGGUAGCACAAGGCUAUACUCAAGUUGAAGGUCUUGACUUUGGUGAAACAUAUGCCCCGGUUGCAAGAUUGGAAGCAAUUAGGAUCUUGUUGGCCUAUGCUUGUGCACAUAACAUCAAGUUAUAUCAAAUGGAUGUGAAAAGUGCAUUUCUCAAUGGCUAUAUCAAUGAAGAAGUCUAUGUUGAGCAACCUCCCGGUUUUGAAGACGACAAGAAACCCAACCAUGUUUACAAGCUAAGAAAGGCAUUGUAUGGUUUGAAGCAAGCACCAAGAGCAUGGUAUGAGAGAUUGAGAGACUUCUUACUCUCUAAAGGUUUAAAGAUGGGCAAGGUUGACACCACUCUCUUCACCAAGAAGAUUGGCAAGGACUUGUUUGUGUUGCAAAUCUAUGUUGAUGAUAUCAUAUUUGGAUCAACCAACCAAGAAUUUUGUGAGGAGUUUGGCAACAUGAUGGCUAAUGAGUUUGAGAUGUCAAUGAUUGGAGAGCUUAGUUACUUCCUUGGUCUUCAAAUCAAGCAAUUGAAGAAUGGCACAUUUGUGAGUCAAGGCAAGUACAAAAAGACAUGCUCAAGAAGUUUGGUAUGGAUGAUGCAAAAUCAAUUAGCACUCCAAUGGGAACAAAUGGAAGCCUAGAUAGUGAUACAAGUGGAAAUAUGGUGGAUCAAAAGUUAUAUCGGUCUAUGAUUGGAAGCCUACUCUAUGUGACCGCAUCAAGACCGGAUGUCAUGUUUAGUGUAUGCAUGUGUGCAAGAUUCCAAGCCUCACCAAGAGAAAGUCAUUUGAAAGCAACAAAGAGAAUAUUGAGGUACCUAAAGCAUACACAAAAUGUUGGUUUGUGGUAUCCGAAAGGUGCAAAGUUUGAACUCGUUGGAUAUUCCGAUUCGGACUAUGCGGGAUGCAAAGUUGAAAGAAGAAGCACAUCGGGCACAUGUCAACUAUUGGGAAGAUCACUUGUCUCAUGGUCAUCCAAGAAACAAAAUAGUGUUGCACUAUCAACCGCCGAAGCGGAGUACAUUGCGUCCGGUAGUUGUUGUGCACAAAUCCUAUGGAUGAAGGCAACUUUGAAGGAUUUUGGAAUCAAUUUCAAACAAGUGCCAUUACUAUGUGACAAUGAAAGUGUCGUGAAGCUCACCAACAAUCCGGUUCAACACUCAAUAACAAAGCACAUAGAUGUCCACCAUCAUUUCAUAAGAGAUCACCAACAAAAAGGGGACAUUUGCAUUGAGAGUAUAGGCACCGAUGAUCAACUUGCUGAUAUAUUCACCAAGCCACUUGAUGAGAAGAGGUUUUGCAAGCUAAGGAAUGAAUUGAACAUACUUGACUUUUCAAAUAUGUGUUGAUGCACCCCCAUUAUAUGACAUGCCUCUCCUUCAAGCAAAGCAAGGUAAAAUUGUUUGACAUAUCAUCCAUCUUUGCUAAGGACUUGUUUAGUGCAUCUAGUCAUUCCUUACAUGUCUUAGGCUCAUUCAUGAAAAUCAAAUGAACUUGAUGCUUGUAUGGUACCACUAUUGCUUCUAUGCUUGACUUAAUCUAGUGGUAGCAUAUGACAUGUUUGUGGGCUUGCAAUCCUAGUGUUUGAUCUAGAAUAUGAGCUAUAAGUGUUUAACUCAACAUGGUACAAGAUAACCCUUAUUUGGAGGUGUGAAGAAGCUUGUCCUUGGAUCAAACCGAGUUAAAUACCUUAGGCAAGUAAUCUAAAUUGGACCAAUUUGGUAAAAUAAUCUCACUUCACAUGGUUUCACACUAACCUAUCUAAAAUUUGAGCUCACCUUUUGUGGUCAUUGAUGACAAAGGGGGAGAAAAUUUCCCAAAGUUCCCAAAGAUUUAAGAUAGGGGAGUAACAUGAUAAAAGAAGGGGAUCAAUUAAAAUUUUGAAGCACACAAGUAGGGGGAGCAAGCUCAUAAACUUGUAUGUUGCAUUUAUAUGUGCAUCACAUAUGGUUGCUUGCAUUUGCAUUAGCUUUAGAAGCUUUCUCUCCACUACCUUGCUUGUGUGGUGUAUGCUAGUUGUAGGUUUGAUUGAUGAAAUGAAGAACUAGCAUGCAUAGGUAGUGUGACUAGACGUUUAGUUAUUUCACAAGUGGUACUAGAACCUUGUUUUUAAUGUUGAUCUCACGGGGUGUUCUAGUUUUGUGAAUGUCUAGUCACUCAUGGUGCUAAGGAUGGUGUAUAUUGGCAACUCCGAUUGGUAUCACGCUUCAAAGGUCCAUUCUUUACACCUUAGCAUCAUUUGGUAGAAAUUGACUCCUAUAUUUCCUAUUCAAGCAUAUGUGCAAGCUUUCAAAUCCAAACUCUUAGCACAUAUGUAGGGGGAGCAAUUGCUACCAAUUUGGGUUUAUGAAACUUGUCCAUAACCUUUGCACAUGGUAAAAUGCUUGGGCAAGCAACAUGAAUCCAAGAAAUUUUAUUGAAAAUCUUUGUAAAAAGGGUUGUCAUCAAUUACCAAAAAGGGGGAGAUUGAAAGCCCUAGUUUGGUUUUGGAUAAUUGAUGAAACCCUAGUACUAACCUCUAUGCUAAGUAUGUGUAGACUUAAUGAGGUUGGUACAUGCCAAGUGAUGGAGCAAGAGAUGAUGAUGGUGAUGACCACAAGAUGAUCAAGUGCUUAACUUGGAAAAGAAGAAAGAGAAAAACAAAACCCUAUGGAGAUCAAGGCAAAGGUAUUGCUUAGGGUUUUGGUUUUGUGAUCAAGACACCAUAGAGGGUGUGAUCACAUUUAGGAUAGAUAGUCGUACUAUAAAGAGGGGAAUUCUUUGGCUAAGCGGUUAUCAAGUGCCACUAGGUGUCAUUGUUCAUGUGCAUGCAUUUAGAACCUAGUAAGCUAACUUAACUCCCUCGAAGAAAAUGAUUGUGAAAAUGCUAACACACGUGCACAAGUUGGUUUACACUUUGUGGUGUUGGCACACUUUGAGAAGGAGGUGGAGUUUGAAAGGUAGAGAGAGGAUGGGUUCCUCUCUCCCUCCCGCCGAGCUUGCGAGGCGGGAUUCGGCACUUUGAGAAGGGUUUUGUUUUUCUCUUUCUUCUUUUCCAAGUUGAGCACUUGAUCAUCUUGUGGUCAUCACCAUCAUCACCAUGAUCAUCUCUUGCUCCAUCACUUGGCAUGUACCAACCUCAUUAAGUCUACACAUACUUAGCAUAGAGGUUAGUACUAUGGUUUUAUCAAUUAUCCAAAACCAAACUAGGGCUUUCAGUCCGGUGCGCACCGGACGCGUCCGGUGCCCCUUUAAGAGCGUCCGGUGACCCCGUAUUUCGCCCAGUGAAAGAGCCAACGGCUCUAUUUGUUUGAGGGGCUAUAUAUACGUGUUUGGCCGGCUUGGGGCUCAGACUCUUAGCAUUCUAACAUACUUGACAUCCUUGUGAGCCUAAGCAAACACCUCCCACUCAUCUCCUUCAUAGAUUAUACAUCUUUGUGAGAUUGGGAGUGAUUCCAAGUGCAUUUGCUUGAGUGAUUGCAUCUAGUGGCACUUGGGGAUCGUUUUAGCUGCGGUUUUCUUGUUACUCUUGGUGGUUGCCGCCACCUAGACGGCUUGGAGCAGCGGAGGAGGAUUGGCACGAGUUGGUGAUUGUUCGUGGCCAUCUCCCGGUGAUUGUGAGGGGUCUUGUACCUUCCCCGGCGGAGAGCCGAAAGGUAACUCUAGUGGAUUGCUCGUGUCAUUGAGUUACCUCACUUGUGGGUAGGUUCUUGUGGUGUCCUAGUGAGGACGAGGUUCGUGCUACACCUCUUAGCCACCGAACCACCAAGUGUUGGUCGACACAACGGGGACGUAGCGUGCCGGCAAGCACGUGAACCUCGGGAGAAAAAUUCUUUGUCUUCAUUGUGUUUAUUCAUUGGAUUUCUCCCGGUGAUUGGACUUCAUAUUAUUGAUUGGUUCAUCCCCUCUACGCGGCGGUAUAAAAAUCAAACCAUCUCUUUUUACAUUCCCGCAAACUAGAGUAGCUUUCUUACUUGUAUAGAAACUUUAGGUAGCUCUCUAGUGUAAGUAGUGACAUAGCUCUUGUGUGCCUAGAGAUUAUAUCAACUAGAAUUAUUGGAUAGGUGGCUUGCAAACACCCCUUUAGAGCUAGAGCAAAAAGCUUCGCUUUGUUAUUUACUAACCUCUUGCUCUAGUGAGUUUGUAGAAUUUUUAAAUAGGCUAUUCACCCCCCCUCUAGCCAUAUUAGUACCUUUCAGUUCUGUUAAAAGUUGGACAUACAAUGCUGAUCUUGCUCGUGUCGAACUUGUUCGUAUGUUUGUUAGGCUAGAUUUGCCCUUGAUGGUUGGUGAAACAGAUGCUUUUAAGGAGUACAUUAAAAAGGCUCAUAAUUCUGCUUUUAGUCCUGCGUCUAAACAAACCAGUGACAGAGAUCUGUUUAAGUACUUUAAUCAACAACGUGAGAAGUUGAUUGCUUGUUUACAAGAUAAUGCUGUGUCGUCUGUUGCUGUUACCUCUAACAUUUGGUCUAGAAAGGCCAAAGAAGACUACCUGUCUGUUGUGGCUCAUUCAUUAAUGUUGAUUGGCAAUUAGAGAAGAGAGUGCUUGGUUUAAGGUUGAUUGAUGUCUCCCAUAAUGCUGAUAAUAUUGCUGAGCGUGUUAAAUCUGUCCUUGCUGAGUAUGGUAUACUCAAUUCGGUUUUCUCUGUGACUUUGGAUAAUGCAUCUGCCAAUAAAAAUGCAAUAGAUAAACUAAAACCUAUACUAAAAGAGUAUUUAGGUGCUGAUCUGUUUUUGCAUCAAAGAUGUGCUUGUCAUAUCAUUAACCUGAUUGUUAAGGAAGCACUGAUUGAUGUAACUCCUCUCAUUGAUAAAGAACUGCAAUCUCUUUUUUGAACUCAUCUAAUCAAAGAAUUGCUGCAUACAAGAGUUAUUGCAUUGCUUCAUCUGUUAGACCUAGGAAGUUCUCACUAGACAUGGAUGUGAGAUGGAACUCCACCUACCUUAUGCUGAAAACAUUGUUACCUCACAGGAGUACUUUUAGUACUUUUAUUGAGGCUAAUUAUCCUAGACCAACUGGUUCUCCUUUCCUAUUGACUGAUGAUCACUGGGAAAUGGCUGACAAGAUGUUAAAAUUUCUUGAACUGUUUUAUGAGUCCACUGUUGAUUUGUCUGGUGUGUACUACCCUACUUCUCUACUGAUGAUUCAUCAUAUUGUUAAGAUUGCUAUUCACCUGCAUAAAUAUCAACAUGAUGAACACCUAAGAGCUGUUGUCCACUCUAUGAUUGACAAAUAUAAUAAAUACUAGAAGAACAUUCCUGAUCUUUACUCCAUUGCAUUCAUACUUGAUCCUAGAGCUAAGAUCAAGGACUUUACCAAAGUGCUGAGAAAGUUAAACUCUCUUUUUAAUGUUGACUACACUAACAAGUUGCUCGACACAAGAGCUCUUCUUUUCAAAAUGUACAACAGGUAUGAUGCAAUGCAUGGCUCUGUUAGGCUUAGAAGGGCUGUUCCUGCAUCCCAUUUUGGUAAAAAAAAGAACACCUUGGGCUACCAUUUAUGAUGAUGAUGAGCUUGACAUUGGAGCUGGCAGUGCUUCCCUCCCUCCUAAUCUUGAUCAGUCCAGGAAUGUGUCUGCCACUUCUUUGCUACAUGUAGCUUGCGCUACUAACUCUAGUGAGCUUGCCACCUACCUGGACUCAGAUACAGUGAGCCAAUUAGAUGAUGAUUUUGACCUCAUGCAAUCGUGGCAUGAGCACAAGCUUACUUAUCAUGUGCUUUCUAUUCUUGCAAAAGAUAUAUUUAUUGUCUCUGUGUCAACCAUCUUUUCAGAAUCUACCUUUAGCACUACUGGCAGGAUCAUCGAGGAGCGUCGCCGGCGGCUGAACCCUGAGACUGUUGAGGCACUGACCUGCAUCAAGGACUAGGAAAAUGCUGAAUCAAGACUGCAGCACAUGGUGGAGGACAAGGAGCUGGAAGAGGCCUUUGAAGCACUUUAUCUUGAUGUUGAUUAAGUUUUUUAUUUUUGUAAUGGUUCUGUAAUAGCUUAAGAGCUGGGAAAACAUUUUGGUGGCUGGAUGGAUGUAAUGAACUUAUAAACUAUUAGGAGCUGGUUGUACUCUUUUUCUGUUAGGAUUUCUCACAAGGAUGAGUUUUACCUAACAGGUUUUUAAUGAGGCAGCCAUUGCACAGCUCCUACUUUAAUUAGUUUUAAUUCCAAAUUUUCCUGUAUUCUUUGCUUUUCUGUGCUAUUUUCUGUUCUUUCCUGUGGUUUACAUGUGUUAUAAAUUUGUAUUGUGAACUUUUGAGUUGAAUGAAUAUAUAUAUGACUUGUGAAGUUUUAGUGCCAGGACCGGCACGGGCACGUUUGGCACGGUCCUGGAAUUUUAGGGUCGUGCUAGUGCUUGCUUUUCAGCACGGCGACACGGCACGACACGACACGAUUCAUCUACUGUGCCUGCCGUGUCGUGCCUAGGCAGGCCGUGCCCAGCGGUGCUAGGGCCGUGUAGUGCCAUGCCGACACGUUUGAAAAUAUUUAGGCACGGGAAUCGCCGGAGAAGCAGUAGCCACGUACGGUAAGUUUCCCUUUUUCUUUUUUUUCUUCUUUCUUCUUAUUUGUUUUCUUUUCCUUUUUCUUUAUUUUUCCUUAUUAUUUUCUUUUUUUCUUUAUUUUUAUUAUUCUUUUCUUUUUUGUUUUCUUUCUUUCUUCUAUUUACCUUUUCUCUUUACCUUUUCUCUAUCAUUGUUUUAUCUUUUUAUUUUUCUUUCAUUAUUUUAUUUCAUAUUUUAUACUAUUUUUCUCUUUCUUUAGCUUAUCUUUUAUCUCUUAUUCAUGUUAUUUUUCAUUUUUUUAUGUUUCUAGCAUGCAUGUUUCUUUUUUCUCUCGAUACAAGUUGGUAGUUGGUGUUUCUUUUUAUUCUUAUUUUCUUCUUAAUUAAAUUCUAGUAUGUGUUGAUAUUAGUUACGCACACGAAAGAAUCAAAGAGAAAUAAUCCGCAAGCGCACGGAUAUCGGUGAGCACUUCACCCGGAAGAUAAGUCCAGAGUAUCGUAUUUAUUUUUUACUACUAGGAGAAAAGCUUGCAAAAGACUAACCUUUUAUCCUACCUGCUACCCACGGGUUGCAAGACAAAAGCUUGCAAAAGACUAACCUUUUAUCCUACAUGCUACCCACGGGUUGCAAGACAAGAUAGUGAGAUAUAAACGAUAUAGAGAGAACUUUUUCUUUAGUCUUAUUCUAACCUAUGGUAAGUGUGUAGAUAUCAUUCUAAGGGGAGUAACUAGAGAAAAGAGGACACCUCAGAGAGUGCUUAACCCUAGUACCAUAUACCCUACCUUACCUCCUGACGGGACGUGGAUUACUAAGAUCCAAGAGGAUUGUCAGUUCCCCCAUAAGGCUACCACAAAUGCGCCCAAGCAGGGAGUAUCUACGAGUAUUCCUAGCCCAAGCACCACGCUUGCGCUACGAAUAAUUACUCUAUUCUCUACGCGAAGCGAAUAAAGUAAACUUGUAAAUCAAAGAACAAUAAAAACAAUAACUUACUAGUAUGAGAAGUUGAAUUGCCGAACGAUUCUAGAACCAAGCCCCUCAGGUUAGGAGACUUGACCCCCGAAGAUACGAAGAAGAAGGCACCGACAGGCCGGGCUUCCUCAACUCCUAUCUUCACCCUAUACUCUCUCAAUCUCUCUUGUUGCUAUCACCCUAAAGAGAUAGAUCCAUUCGAGGGGCCCCUCUCUGUCUAACUCUCUCUAGAAAAUAUGAAUUAGGGUUUCAGAGUUACAUCUCAAGGUGGGUCAGGGUCUUUAUUUAUAGUCCCCUAGGAAUCACCACAGCCCUUGGAUCAAACUGACUUAAAUGUGCGCUUAAGAUCAAAGUCGGUGGAGGCAGGAUCUGCGAGGUUCGCUCCGAUUGGUGGAGAGCCCCGGGCAGCCGCCUCUAUCAGGGUGGGGCGCCUGCCCCUGCCCUAUGGCAGGUGGGUGCCACCUUUCAGGUGGUGGCUCCUGGAGUCUUCUAGAUUGUUUCUGAGUUGACGUUCUGGUCUUCUCUCUAUGUAAAUCUGACAUGUGAACAUUCUUUUGUUAUUAUUUCGGUAACCCCUGUAGAAAUAGACAAUCACCAAAACUCGUAGAAUUCUGUUAGUGAUAACCCUAUAUCUACUGAGUGCUUACAAACAGGUCAUUUUUCAUGUUAAGUUGACGGUUAAAAUUAGGAGUUAUCUAGUAUGCUGUUACGUUUGUUUCUCUUUUUUAUUUCUUUUUUUUCUUAUUUUCUAUUCUGUGUUAUUUUACUUUACUUAAUUAUUUUAUUUUUCAUGCUCAUAUUUAUUUCUUUUUUAUAUAUAUUUAUCAUUUAUUAUUCAUGUUUUAUGUGUGUUUUUUUGCUUUGCAAUUCAUAUUAUUAUUAUUAUUAUUAUUAUUAUUAUUAUUAUUAUUAUUAUUAUUAUUAUUAUUAUUAUUAUUAUUAUUAUUAUUAUUACUAUUAUUAUUAUUAUUAUUAUUAUUAUUGUUAUUAUUAUUAUUAUUGUUAUUAUUAUUAUUAUUAUUAUUAUUAUUAUUAUUAUUAUUAUUAUUAUUACUAUUAUUAUACUACUACUACUACUCUAAAAGUAUUUUUUAGUUUAGUUUUUUAUUUUCUAUAUUUCAUGAGAUGCUAUGUUCAUAUAAUAGAGUUGUGAUGUUCUAUAAUAUUUUAUGUAUGUUCACAUGGUAUAUAAUGUCAUGUUUUGUGUUUUUACGUAGUAUACAUAUGAUGUUCUAUAAUAUAUUUUGUAAUAUUCACGGAGUAUACAUGCGGUGUUCACGUAGUAUAUAAUUAUGUUUUAUGAUGUAUUCUGUGAUGUUCAUGUAAUAUAAAUGUGUUGUUCUAUUAUUUUUUUUAUGAUAUUCUAUGGUGUAUUUAAUGGUGUUCACUUCAUAUAUACCUGAUGUUUUAUAGUAUAUUUUAGGAUGCUUGAAAGUACCAUGUGAUAUUUUUUAAAUUUUUUCUAUUAUGUGUUUUAUUUUCUUCCUUAUGUUUUGUUUUAUAUUUUUUAUGUUAUGUUAUGUUAUGUUAUUUAUUUAUUUAUUUUUAUGUAUAUUGGAAUACCAAUUUCAUAAACCUAAACUGAGAACAUUCUUCUUAUUAAAAUAGAACAUUGUUCUUUCAAAUCUAGAACAUUGUUUUUGUUCAAUAAAAGAAAAAUAUUCUAGCUUCAGAAGACAAAUGUUCGUUAAAAGACAUUAUCUAAAUAUAUACAUAUGGGGUCUUAUUUUGAAGGAUUUACUGCAACAAAUCCAACGAUGUAAUCGAAAUUUAAUUUGGAUAUUCAUUUUAGUAGUUAAUUUUUUUAAAUUAGUUAAAAGUUAAAGAUGAAGUGGGGCCCUUCACUGACCAAAUAGUUCUCAGGGCGCCAGAUCCUUCCGGCUCCCUCGCGCGCUGCCUGCUGCGGCCUUCAGGCAGGAAGCUGCGAGCCUGGGCGGAAAAUCAUCUGCGCGUGCCGCUAUGAUCCGAUGAGAAAAUGACAAUUUUGUCAUUAUAAAAACUAGGCUUCGCAAUUUUACCAUCCCACAAAUAGGAUUCGCAAGUUUGUCAUUCUCAAACGAUGUACACUCUCAAAUAUGCCCUGAGCAGAAUUUCAAUUUAAUUUUUUUUUUUUGCCGUGUCUUAUUUUUCUUCCCGUUUUGCCCCUCCUCCUUAUCCAUUCAUUCACGGGCGAGGACAACGCAUUUGUCGGCCGCGUUCCCGCGAUGGGAAGGGACAACGUAUCCGCCGGCAGCGCGUUCCCGUUCCAGAGCGUCGGGCUCGGCAGCGCCGGUACACGUCCUUGUUUGCCGUCCGGGAGCACCCCGACGCCUUGGUCCCCGAGCGCGACCGCCUGCUGCUCAGCCUCGGUCCUCGAGCGCGAGCGCGACGCCCAACCCCCAGUGUCCAUGGUGCUCGUCUCCGUCGGCAGCGAGUACUUCAUGACGGAGGAGCAGCUGGUGGUGGAAGGGUAGGCCCCGAGGAGGACGACGACACCUUGGUCGCCGGGCGCGGGCUGGUGGUGGAAGGGUGGGCGCCGCAGCGCCGCGUCCUGGCGCACCCGGCCUGCGGCACGUUCCUGUCGCACUGCGGGUGGAGCUCCGUGCUGGAGUCGCUGACGGCGGCGCUGCAGCUGCACAUCGACCAAAUGCUGGGUGCCAACCUGGCCGCGGAGCUGGGCGCCGCCGUGCGCGUGCCGCAGGAGCAGUUCGGGGAGUUCCGGGCCGAGGACAUGGCGCGCGCGGUGCCGCGGAGUUUGCGAGAGGUGGUGGCGCGGAACGACGCGGACGGCGCGCAGGUCGACGCGCUCGUCCAGCGCAUGGCGUGGCUCUGCGGCAAGGGACAGCAGCGAGUGGCCGUGCCCAACUGAAUUUCCGCUGCGUUGCGCUCUUGCUCUGUUUCAUUUAAAGUUCGUCUACUCGUCACUCAGACGGGGCGGCGCCGGCAGCUUGGCUCGGUCUCGACCGCCAUGGAUGCGUUGUCCCCUCCCGUCGCAGACUCUGGGCUUCCCUCGAUCAAACUCUGCGAAUGCGUGACUGUCUUCCGUGAACGAAUGGAUAAAGAGGAGGGGCAAAAUGGGAAGAGAAAUAAGACAUAGCAAAAAAAAUUAAUUAGAUCGAAAUCCUGCUCAGGGCAUAUUUGAGGAUGUGCAUCAUUUAAGAAUGGCAAAUGUGCGAAUCUCAUUUGCGCGAUGGCAAAAUGGUGAAGCCCAGUUUUUAUAAUGGCAGAAUUGCCAUUUUCUCUGAUCCGAUUGCUCGGACUAUAGGAUUAGGAGCCCCCACGCCUCACAACGGCGCGUUCGUGUUUCUUGUGGAAAAUUCAAAGUGCAGCGCGCGAUGCGUUCGGACGCACCUGUUGCGCUCUUGACAGUGGCGAAACGACUGAGGGAGUUGCCUUGUUUAGUUCCUUAAAAAUUUUUGUAAAAUUUUUCAGAUUUUUCAUCACAUCAAAUCUUUUGACACAUACAUAUACCAUUAAAUAUAAAUAAAAAAUAAUUAAUUGUACAAUUUGUCUGUAAUUUGUUGACGAAUCUUUUGAAUUUAGUUAGUUUAUAAUUAAAUAAUAUUUAUCAAAUAUAAAAUACUAUAAUGUCUAUUAAAAAAAUAGAAGAGAUCCAGGAGCAUCAGCCGAGCGCUGCUGGGUUGUGCUCCCUUCCUGCUAGGCUGCUGGGCCUUGUUUACUUACAAAAUAUAAAUAUUACCAAUUUUGUUUGUAUUUGACAAAUAUUGUCCAAUCAUGGAUUAACUAAGCUCAAAAGAUCCGUCUCGACAAUUCCGACCAAACUGUAUAAUUAGUUUUUAUUUUCGUCUAUAUUUAAUAUUUCAUACAUACGUCUAAAGAUUUAAUGUGACGGAGAAUCUGAAAAAUUUUGCAAAAUUUUUUGGGAACUAAGGCCUUGUUUAGAUCGCUACUGUAGCACUUUCGUUUAUUUGUGGUAAAUAUUGUCCAAUUAUGGACUAACUAGAAUCAAAAGAUUCGUCUCGUGAUUUCCAGGUAAACUGUGCAAUUAGUUUUUAUUUUCGUCUAUAUUUAAUGCUUUAUGCAUGUGUCGAAAAAAUCGAUGUGACGGAGAAUUUUGAAAACUUUUUUGGUUUUGGGGUGAACUAAACAAGGCCUAAACAAGGCCCAAGAUUGACGUGACGAAGCCAAGGGGCGCCUCAUGCUAUACUUGGGCCUUGUUUAGUUCUAAAAUUUUUUGCAAAAUCGACAUUGUAGCACUUUCGUUUGUAUUUGACAAAUAUUGUCCAAUUAUAGACUAAUUAGACUCAAAAGAUUCGUCUCGUCAAUUUCGAUCAAACUGUGUAAUUAGUUUUUAUUUUCGUCUAUAUUUAAUACUCCAUGCAUGCGUCUAAAGAUUCGAUGUGACGGGGGAAUCUGAAAAAUUUUGCAAAAUUUUAAGACCUUGACCAAAUUGCAAGUGCGCCGCCGCCGCUGCCCCUUUUCCUGUUCAUUCCGCUGUCCGCUUCCCAGCAGUAGCACCGCAUGUGCUGGCAAGUCAACCCACUGCAUUGACCGCCAGCCAGCCGCGUCCACGCGCGCGCGAGCUCAAUGCGUCAAGACCACCACGUGCUCGCCGCCUCACCGGUCACCGCCCCGUCCGGCCCCCGCCCCCCUCACCGCACGGCCACGCCCGCACUCCGCUCUGCCACCCGGCCAAUGCCGACGCCACCACCCGCCCCCGCCCGCGUCCUCCUCGCGUCGCCACUCCUCGCCAUCCUUGCCCUCGCCACCGUCGCUGCCAAUGCAGCGACGCCACCGUCGCCGGCCGAGGCCCUGCUGGCGUGGAAGUCGAGCCUUGUUGACCCGGCGGCGCUGUCCACGUGGACGAACGCCACCAAAGUCUCCAUCUGCACCACCUGGCGCGGGGUCGCCUGCGACGCCGCCGGCCGCGUCGUGUCGCUCCGUCUGCGCGGGCUCGGUCUCACCGGCGGCCUGGACGCGCUCGACCCGGCCGCGUUCCCGAGCCUCACUUCGCUCGACCUCAACAACAACAAUCUCGCCGGCGCCAUCCCGGCGUCGUUCUCGCAGCUGCGCUCUCUGGCCACGCUCGACCUGGGCAGCAACGGGCUCAGCGGCACCAUCCCGCCGCAGCUGGGCGACCUCUCGGGCCUCGUCGAGCUCCGCCUGUUCAACAACAACCUCGUCGGCGCGAUCCCGCACCAGCUGAGUAAGCUGCCAAAGAUCGUCCAGCUCGACCUGGGGUCCAACUACCUGACUAGCGCCCCGUUCUCACCGAUGCCCACGGUGGAGUUCCUCUCGCUCUCCCUCAACUACCUCAACGGCAGCUUCCCGGAGUUCGUGCUCAGGAGCGGCAACGUCGCCUACCUCGACCUGUCGCAGAACGUCUUCUCCGGUCCGAUCCCGGACGCGCUGCCGGAGCGGCUGCCGAACCUGCGGUGGCUCAACCUGUCAGCCAACGCGUUCUCCGGCCGGAUCCCAGCGUCGUUCGCGAGGCUAACGAGUCUCAGGGACCUGCACCUUGGCGGCAACAGCCUUAAUGGCGGCGUCCCAGACUUCCUCGGGUCCAUGUCGCAGCUGAGGGUCCUUGAGCUCGGCAAUAACCCGCUCGGCGGGCCGCUCCCGCCGGUUCUUGGCCGGCUCAAGAUGCUGCAACGUCUCGACGUGAAAAACGCCAGUCUGGUCUCCACUCUGCCGCCGGAGCUCGGCAGCCUCAGCAACCUCGACUUCCUCGAUCUCUCAUUGAACCAGCUCUCUGGAAACUUGCCGGUGUCGUUCGCCGGGAUGAGGAAAAUUAAGGAGAUCGGGAUAUCAGACUGCAACCUCACGGGCGACAUUCCGAGGGGACUGUUCACGAGCUGCCCGGAGCUCAUAUCCUUUCAAGCACAGACGAACUCUUUGACCGGAACCAUUCCACCUGAGGUCGGCAAGGCGACGAAGCUGCUAAUCUUGUAUCUCUUCAGCAACAACCUCACCGGCGAGAUCCCGCCGGAGCUCGGCGAGUUGGCUAACCUGGCUGAACUGGAUUUGUCGGUGAAUUGGCUCAGCGGACCGAUACCAAGCUCGUUGGGCAAUCUCAAGCAGCUCACAAGAUUGACACUCUUCUUCAACGCGCUUAACGGCGCGAUCCCACCGGAGAUUGGGAACAUGACCGAACUGCAGAUCUUGGAUCUGAACAACAACCAACUAGAAGGUGAGCUGCCUUCCACCAUCUCGUCUCUCAGGAAUCUCCUGUACCUCUGUGUAUGAUAACAACUUGAGCGGCACCCUGCCUCCGGACCUUGGCAAAGGGCUGGCCCUGACCGACGUGCACUUUGCCAACAAUAGUUUCUCGGGUGACUUGCCACGGUACCUCUGCGAUGGCUUCGCGCUGAAUAACCUCACGGCGAACCACAACAACUUCAGCGGCACGCUGCCACCAUGUCUACGGAACUGCUCGGAGCUGUACCUGGUGCGUGCGAUUAGAUCAGAACCACUUCACCGGCGACAUCUCAGAGGCGUUCGGUGUCCAUCCCAGCUUGGACCACCUGGACGUCUCAGAGAACCAUUUCACGGGGAGCCUGUCGUCAGAUUGGUCAAAAUGCACCCAUCUCGCAACUCUAUUCGUCAAUGAAAAUCGCAUAUCUGGCAAUAUCGAUGCAUCUUUCUGUAGCUUGUCUUCUCUGAGGUCACUGGAUCUCUCAAAUAACCAAUUCAGUGGGGAACUCCCACGCUGCUGGUGGAACUUGCAAGCUCUGGAAUUCAUGGAUUUGUCUAGCAACAUCUUCUCUGGAGAAUUUCCAGGCUCAGCAACCUAUGAUUUGCCUCUCCAGUCGCUUCAUAUUGGUAACAACAACUUCUUUGGAACUUUUCCACCUAUCGUUCAGAAAUGCACGAAGCUAAGAACACUUGAUAUUGGGGACAACAAUUUCUUUGGUGACAUCCCGUCUUGGAUUGGAACAGCCAUUCCUCUUAUGAGAGUUCUCAUGCUUCGAUCUAACAAUUUCACUGGUAUCAUUCCUUCGGAGCUAUCCCUGCUUUCUAAUCUUCAUUUACUUGGCAUGGCUCAUAAUAGCUUCAUUGGAUCCAUUCCUAGAUCACUUGGCAACUUAUCAUCAAUGAAACAACCAUUCGUGGUAGAAACUCUUCAAAAUCGCGAUAUUCGUUUCCAGCUUAAAUUGGUGCAACAGAGCCGGGUUUCCGUGUUUUCAAGGAGGACUAUUCCUGAAACUCGAAACCCUUUGGAUAAGUAUCGAGAUAGAGUUGGUGUACUCUGGAAAGGCAGUGAACAAACUUUUCAGACAAGUAUUGACUUCAUAACAGGCAUUGAUUUAUCUGGCAAUUCACUUUCUAACAGCAUCCCUGAAGAGAUAAUGUACCUUCAAGGUCUCAGGUUUUUCAACUUGUCAAGAAAUAAUCUGUCAGGCAGCAUUCCGCAAGGAAUUGGCAGGUUGAAUCUCUUGGAGUCCCUUGACUUGUCGUGGAAUGAACUUUCAGGUGCUAUUCCUCAGAGCAUUUCUAAUCUGUCUUGCCUUAGCACGCUAAAUCUCUCGAAUAACCACUUGUGGGGUGAGAUACCAACUGGAAGGCAACUUCGGACACUUGAUGAUCCGUCGAUUUAUGGAAACAAUUUGGGGCUCUGUGGCUUCCCUCUGAGCGUAGCAUGUUCCAACAGAGAUAAAUCUGAGAUGAUAGAAGACCAUAAAGAAUUUACAUGGUUAUGUUACUCGGUGAUUCUUGGCAUCGUUUUUGGCUUUUGGCUUUUCUUUGGAGCUCUAGUUUUUAUGAAGUCCUUGAGAUUUUUGGUCUUUCAGUUUGCUGAAACCUUAGGAAAGGUUAUGCAAAGGUUUGUCAACUCAGUGUCGGGACGAAAUUUUCUCUUUCACUAGAGUGUCCAUGUAAAACUUUAUUAAUCCCUUAGGGCGUUGUUAAGGCAUGUUGUAUCGAACAUUUUCUCUACUUUAAUAUAAAGACGUGCAAACCUUUUGGAUGAUCGAGAAAAAAAUCUUUUCUUUCACACCUUUUUUUUUGUGUUCCUUUUAUUUAUCUUUCUUCUUCCUUAAAAUAGCAUGUAUGGAAGAGAAUAAAAUUAAGAUUUGUAUAAAAAUGUUCUCGAGCACACUCUAAUUUACUUGACUCGCACUAGAGUUAUAGUGAUUAUUUUAAAAAAUAUUUAGGUAGAAUUAAUGUAACUGUAAAUUUAGAUGUCAAAAAAAAUAUUUUACGUGAUUUCUAUAACACCUCUAAUCUAGGUGUGGAAGUGGAACUGCUGCUCACAAAUUUAAGGUCGUAGAUGAAAAACAGAAGGGCAGAAAGCAGAUGACGUGCCUUCUAAUUAACAAUUGCCUAAUGAUAUAUUUCGUCACUUGAUGCAGUUGUUACAGUUUUUUUUUUUGAACCAAGCAAAAACUAAUAGAGCACUGCUGGAUUGACAAGAAACAUUCAAGGUUAAGAUGCAAGGUGGGUUGUUCAUGAGCCCAUGAAUAAGUUCAAAUUUUGCAGAAAAUCUAUGUAACAACUCAAUACUUUAUAAACAACAAUCACUUUAGAUUAAAUCCAUCCCUCUUCAUCUUAUCUUCUCUCUUCUUCUUCCUUCGUCCGAUCUCAACCCGACAAGCCACUCGCCCUUGUUGCCUCUGCCUCCCCUCCUGGCUCCGGUGGCUACUCCUUCGUCGUCAACUACCACGGUCUCAUCCUAAAUCCACCUGAUGUGCCUCAUCCCCAUCGUCUUCUUCAUCUCCGGUCGAGCUCCCCUGACGCCACCACCGGAGCUGGCACCAUGCUAACCCAGUGGAGGUCGUUGGGUUAUCUAUGUCGCACCCUCGCCCAACCGCCUUCCCACUCUGCCCGGCUAGCAGCGCCAUCGCUGCCUUGCCCCACGUCACCCCCACCCCUUGUGCCCACCACCACUGUCAGACCAACCUUGUUUUUUUAAACAAAGGCAAGAGCUCGGCCGCUCAACUAAGACGCAAGAAAUUUAUGUACAAGAAGGGUAGCCAAACCUGGUGCCAAACAUAGGAUACACGAAGAGCUGACCCAUCCACACGACUUGAAAGAGUACAAAACGACCAUGAAUCAUUGUUGCCGAAAAUGGUUUGCAAAGUAGCCAGGAGCUCCGAUUUUCCAUGGCAAACCCUAAACGAUCCUAACGAAGAUAGGCAGAUGGCCCAAAGCGAGAGGCACAAUUGGUCAUCGUUGUAACAUUCCGGUCCAUGACUUAAUAGGAUUAAUAGGAUACUUAUAUCAAUAAGUUGCAACUUCUAUUUCGAAAGCUCAUUUUCAAAGAACUCUAAAGUUAAGCGUGUUUGGCCUGGAAAAUUUAGAGAUGAGUGACCGACCGAAAAGUUCUUUCAUGUGAGUAUGAGUGAGGACAAAGUGCGCGGAAAAGAUUGGUGUUGGUCUACGAGACACUCUAUAUAUCCUACAAAAGCUAUGAAAUGUAAGCGGGUCCGGCCUUGUGGAGGCAGGACGUUACAGAAUGGUAUCAGAGCCGACUCUCGCGGUUUUACAGGCGCGUGUGUCAUAGUUGUGCAGACAUGGUGUGCAUGGCUGGUGUGGACCUAGGGUGGUCACACAGUAUGACACAUGCGCUGGCACUGGACACACGGAUGUAGUCAAGAGGGGAUGUUCCUGACUUGGGGUUGAAUGACGAGGACGUCGGUCUCUUAAGGGGGUGAGAAUGUAACAUCCCGUCCUAGAGCUUAAUAGGAUUAAUAGAACACUCAUACCAACAAGUUAUAGUUUUUUUCAGAAGCUCAUCUUUAAUGAACUCUAAAGUUAAGCGUGCUUGACCUGGAAAAAUUUAGGGACAUGUGACUGAUCAAAAAGUUUUUCCAGGUGCGUACGAAUGAAGACAGUGCACAGAAAAGACAAAUCAUCCCAAAAUUGGUCUUUAGAGUCUUUGCCUACUGUGACAACUUGUCCGACAUUACUCCCCAGAACCUAUCGUGUCACCUCAUUCAUCAGAUUGAGAGGCAUGUCCUCAAUUCAAAUCAAAACUGGCAUCAAAUUUAAUUUAAUGUCCGAUGAUCGAAGCUUGCCAUCAUAAGCAGCAACAAGAAGCGGGUCACCACGAUAGAUCCAUGGCCCUCCCUGCAACACAUAAUUCUUUUCCCCUUCCGAUCUCACCUCAAUAAGGAAACGAUUGUCCCGUAGCCUUUUGACAUCAGGGGCAUAAUUUAAACGCCAAGCAUGCUUCAUGGUUUCAAAUAGCCACAUAAACUGUAUCCACAUAUCGUAAGAAACACACCCAAUAAUCACAAAUUGUGUGCUGUCGUAGCGUCUGCUACAUCGAAGUCAAGGACGAUCGGCGGCGAAUCGUCAUCCUCCUCCUCAAAGCCCCUGGUAUUCAAUUUCCUCCUCUUCUAUGGCGCUGCCCGCCUCCAUAAGAUUUUUUUGCAUGCUAGAGCCAUCACUUAUGUCCGUCAUCACUAGAUCUUUCAUCACGCCAGAACCAUCACCUGUCUCCAUCAUCGUGGCCAGGUUCAAGAGAUCACCUCCACGAAUGAGUUCAGGUGGAAAAGAUCACCAAAGAUCCCCCUGAUCACCCUCCCCCCCCCCCUCGUUGUGGAAAGCAAAACCCCAGAAUCCUAGAUGAGACCUUAACGAUAAGAGACCGCGAGAGGAAUUUUGCCAAAACCCUCCUAUACACAUAAAGGUACACGUACGUAACGAGGAAUCUAGGUGGGGAGAGGCAGGUCUCCCCCUGAACAUGAGAAAGUCGGACUCCCACGGCACUUCCAUCAAACCCUAUUCGCCACCAUGAGUCGGCGAGUCAGGAGACAGAGGCUUACCCUAGUUUACCCAAAUUUGAUCGGAGUUGCAGAUCCCCAGUCGCUUGUUUAGGAGAACCUCGCCCCGCUUGGAGGACGGAAUGUGUACCAACGGCUGGGCGGUAAUCCGACUGCUCUUGGGCCGAAAAUGCGGGAGCCUCCUGACAGGCGUCCUCUGUCGAGGUGGGAAGGCGAUCAAGGGUGGCUCUCACUCGUCUCGCACCUCGUCAAGAAACCUUCCAAGGCGCCGAGUGGCCGCGGUCGGUGUUGGCGUCUCAUCCCCAGUUGCGACGUCGAGCUGACCCUCACGAGGAGGCGUCAGCAGCGCCGAUGGCUGAGGUGCGAUGGUGGCAUCGCCCAACGUGGGCAUCGCGUCGCUGAGGCCAGAUGUGCUUGGUCGGUCAUCAAACUGUGCAUCGGCGGUGUAGAGUCCGCCGCGGGUGCCGUCGCGACCACCACAACGGGUCCUGUCUAAGGAGGUACGACCUGCACAAGCGAUGACAGAGGCGGAUUCUCUGUGCUUAGAGCAACCAUCAGCGAAGAAGGAGCAACUUGAAGCGUGAUGGCGAACUCCUCAAGCAUUAGGUCAAUCCACGCGGGUGGCGCCGAGCACUUGAGCAGCUCCAACUCUGGGGGGUCAAGCUCGGGGAGGCCGCCGGCAACGAUGACAAUAGUGGCAUUGUUGUCCCUGUUAGAGGUGGCGGACUUCACUGGCUUGCAUCGUCAUCGCCGACGUCCCCGGCUUCCACCGACGCCCACCAUGGUACCCUUCACGGCCCCCUCUACACGUGUCGAGUCAUGGGACGUGCACUAGGGCGCAACAACAUGCCUGGGGCGCCUACAGUCCCUGGCGAGGUGGUGGAGACCGCGGCAGCGUAGGCAGCGCUACUCGAUGAGUAGAGGACAGACAGUUGAAGCAUCUCCUAAAAAGCUCCACGAGGAUCUUUGGGGGCUGCUGACGCUAUGACUGGUCGGUGCGAGACACAGCCAAGCUAGUAGCUGGCCUCGUCUGCUGUUGGUGGAGUACCUCCCGCCACCCGCCGACAUCCGGGGCGGAGAUCCGUCCACAACGGCGCUAGCGAGGAUGGGUGUGACCCUCCACAGGCCGCACGGGUAGGCCACACAGUAGCUGCGGACGUGCCGACCGCACCUGCUCCGCCAACGACCUUGUUGCUGCCUUCUAGGGUUCGCCCCAGCUUGGCCUGAGCCUGAGGCGGGGCGAGCCCUAGCUCUAGCAGAGGGAGCCGAGACCACGGCGUCGAGGUAGCUGCGGUGGUGGCCGCCAAUGGAAACUUCACUAUCGUUGUCUGCCCACCGGCGGAGCCCAACACCGGUGGUCACCGUGGCGGCGUAGCCCAACAUUGUCGUCAGCUGAGACGGGGCUGUGGCUGAGCCCAGUGAGCGACGGGCGUACACCCGCAGCAAGCUAGGCAUCAAAGCCAACAUCGACGCAUCCGCGGCUGGGACGAUGGUCUCCGGUGCCUGGACGGUGACCAGCUCCGGUGGUGACGGUGGCGCAACCCUAGAUCUAGGCUCGCCGGACUUCCCAGUCGCCGGAGGCUACGAGGGCGAGCACAGGGUGCUGGAGGUCGAAGCAGCCGACGUUGCUGCACCUGCUAGUGGAGGAAACGAUGCUACAGCCGCCAGCGCCAUCGACGAGGACGCGAGGUGUCCUGCGCAUGGCUGUCGCGGGGGUGGAGCUGUGGAGGGGGAGGGGGAGGGAGAGGGGGAGCCAGGCAAGGGAGCGGCAGGCUCCAGUGGUUGGGAAGCGGCCGACGCCAGCAGUGGUGGCGGCGCUGAGGAGCCCGUCAGGAGGUGCCCGCUACACACCGCGCUCGGUCCUUAUUGCAAUGUAUUCCACUCAACUUACUUUUUCCAAUUGUAAGAUAUGAUUUUUUUUGUGUCAAUUGAUUAUGGGUAUGUGAUAUUUCAGGUUGAUGUUAAGAAAGCUAUACUCGCAUAUGCCCUUUUUUCUUAAUUGUGUUCUGUAAUUCAUAUAUUUGUGUACCGACAUGUUAAAUUUAUAGUGGUUAGAAAAAUUUUAGAUAAUGGACCAUCACAGUUAUAAAUUCUGGCUACGCCACUGAUACUACUGUGUGAUAGUUGGAAUUGUUUUUGGAUUUUGGCUGUGGUGUAGGAUGCUCUUUUCCAUUGCAAAGCUGAGGCGUUCUGUUUUCUUCUUUGCUGAUUGCAAAUACAAGAUUAAGCAAAGGGUGCAACCUACCGAUCAAUUUCUUUCAAAAGAAGACAGGAUCCAUUUUUGUAGCUGUGUUUUCUAACAAGUGAUACAAGCUCAAGGAUGGAAGUAUGAUAUCUUCUCUACUAUACUUGGUCCAAUCUUCUCUUUAUUUUCCCCAAGUACGACAGGAGAUUUGAUGCCUUUUGUAAUGGUGUAAUAUUGAGAGGAAUGCUAGAAGGAUUCUAGUUAACUAUUAUAUAGGAGUUUUAAUAAAAAAUAUAUGCACACUUUGUGUUAUCCAGUGACGUGCCCGAUGUUGGUGUAUUCUACUGUAGAUGAGAUUAAAGUUAAAGCAUUUUGACUUAGUACAAAACUAACGUGACUUAGAGCAACUCCAAGAGCUUAACUAUUCUUAUUGUGGAGGCUAUUUUAGAAUUUGUAUAUCAAAGGUAGGCUCCAACAGAUGUGCUAUCUGGUUUUGUAAAAUAGAAAGUUGGUUAUCCCUUAAUUUUGGUGACCAUAAAUAGCCAACCAUUGACACUGGCUAUUUGAUUUUGUAAAAUAGUAAGACUGUUGUGGACUUCUUCUUCUUUUUAAGAAGUUUUUCUAUUUUACAAAAUAGCUAAACAAUGAAAUUUGACUACUAAUUUUAGCUAAGCUCUUGGAAUUGCUCUUAGGAGUUUGGUAUAGUCUACAUGCUAAAAUAAUAGAUCUAACAAGUUAAUAGAAGCAAUAGAAACUUUAAAUUUUGUCCUUUUCAAACAAUAUCCUAUAAUAGCUUCAUAAACGAAUUUGCAUUGGUAACUUCUAAAAAUUUCUAACCAACCAGUCCUUUUUAAUAGUUUCUUUGUCUCUUACCUUCAUCUCAUCUAGAAUCCUUUAUUUUCUUCAUUUAUACGUGCAUCUAUUUUAGGCCUUGUUUAGUUCCAAAAUAUUUUGGAAAAUUGACACUGUAGCAUUUUCGUUUGUAUUUGACAAAUAUUGUCCAAUCACGGACUAACUAGGCUCAAAAGAUUCAUCUCGUCAAUUCCGACCAAACUGUGCAAUUAGUUUUUAUUUUCGUCUAUAUUUAGUACUCCAUGCAUGUGUCUAAAGAUUCGAUGUGAUGGAAAAUCUGAAAAAUUUUGCAAAAUUUUUCGGAAACUAAACAAGGCCUUACUCUGGACAUCCAGAGAAAAACACCGGAGGGGGAGCGAAUAUGGAGUUCCUCCGAAACUUACGAGUUGGAGAAGAUAUUUGACAUUUUUUUUACUUUGAGGAGCUAUUUUACCAAACUAUCAGAGAAUAGUUUUCUCUUUCCACAAAAAUAUCAAAAUAGGGAGUUAUUUUAUAAAACUCCUGGAUAAUUUGGAAUAUUUUAUUUACGUGCUAAGAGCAUAUCCAAGAAUUUCCAAUAAAGCCUUCUGAUUUUUGGCAAAAAUAAAAAAAAAAACAUCUCCAAGAGUUCUCAUCCCAUCUCCCAAUCUUUUGACACUUCAAAUAAAUCACCAAACACGUGUAUAUGCCUGUGCGUCUUCCAUGCAUGUAUCGGUCUCCCAAUCUAUGGUGGAAGGGCGUGAGAAAGAAUAAAGAGUAGAAAAGGUUCCCGAUGCAAAUGUACAAGAAAGAAAUUUUUUUAAAAAUGGUUAGGAUAAUUUAGUAUAGGGUUUCUGAUGUAAAUAAUUUUUUAAUAAUUUAGGAGUGAAUUAUUGAAAAUUGUUGGGAUGAUAUUAUUUAUUUCUCUCAAUACUUUUUGACGUAUUGGAGAACUCUAUGAUUUUGGAAAAAAAAAAUCUUGGAAACUCUCAAGUAAAGAUGGCAAUGGGUACCCGAGACCCGAAACCCGAUAGGUUUUUGCUCUAUUAGGGUGAGGAUAUGGGUCAACUUCGCUACCCGUGGGUUUGUUAAUGGGGCAAAAGCUAGACCCAGUGGGUUUAUGGGCAUGGGUCUGGGUGUGUAGUACCCAAACCCACAAACCCAUAGGUUUUUUAAACCCAGUUCACCGUAUCAUCACACAAUAUAAUUAGUACAUAAAGUACAAAAUGCAAGAAAAUAAACGAAAUAGAGAACAUGCAUGCUCCAUACUUUUUUAGUAGAGUCUCCUUAUGAAAGUUGCAGCUAGCUAGCGCGUCUUAGUGCAUGCACCCAGUUCAUCUGGACUCAAAAAUAUGACAGAUGUUGGCACUAAGCAUUAGCAGGUUAUGGCCCAGUGCAUGCUAGAGGUGAGUGUUAUGUCACAACUCGCAAAUUUCUAGUGCGGAGGUGUAAUAACACAUAACAUGAAUCCCACCUUGCCAAUUGAUUCAACUUUAAGUAUUUUGGUGCGCUAUAGAGUAGACUUGCUCACUUGACUGGAUGACCAUCUUAUGACAUGUUGUGACGGACACGGGCAACCCGUUAAAUACCCGUGACCCGAUGGGCAUGGCUUUGGGCACAAAAUCAAACCCGUGACGGGUCAUAGGUUUUUUAGUGGGCAUAUUUUAUAUUAAUGGGCAUGGGUUUGGGAUGGCAAAACCCAGCGGUUUGUACCCGUUGCCAUCUUUACUCUCGAGGGAUGCUCUAGUGUAUGAGAGUGAUGAAACCAUUAGGUUGUGAACUUGAUGAACUCUUAUGUAAACUUGAAUACAUUUACACAAUGUAUGUGUUGUGAUGUUGCACGUUAUGCAAAAGUGUGUGAUAGUGAUCCACUCGUGAAGUCGUGCUAGUAGUGGGUUAUGUAUUGAUAUAUGCAUUGCUUGACAGUUUUUUUUUUUUUGAGAGAGAGGACCAUUGCUUGACAGUUGAGACGCACUUUCCAGCCGUAGAGCCAAAGCCCAUGAGGCUAAGAAUCACGGACCUUGGCCACGAGAUAUUUGUGGUUGGGCCGGAUUAGGCCCAGCCGGGUGCAGCACCCCAACACGUCAAACUCUCUCGGAAAGUCUCCCCCUCCCCCACCUGCAGUCGACGGUUUGGCAGCAAGGCGACCAAUCAGCCGAGAUUUACAUGACCUUCCAUGGAUGAUGAUGAUGGAUGUGGUCCUCGGCGAACCAUCUUGUUUGGAUUCUCUCCCAGAGUCGACGCGACGUUAGCGCAGUUGCACAACGCGGAUUUCCGGGCGUCGUGGCUGCCUGCCCGGUGCGCGCACGGAGGCUGUUCGACGGAACGCCUCAUCGACGGCGCGUCUGGGUAUCUUGUGAUUUGCGACGUAUCCAGGGGCCAGGGCGCAGCACCAGCACGAUGCGGCCGGACGUUUCCGAAGUGCUCGCCACAGAAUGGCGAAAUGGCUGAGGGAAGUGGACGCGGAAGAGGUCACGACGACUGCCUUGUGCACCCAUCGUUUUCAAGGUACUUCUCACAAGUCACAGGUCACAAAACCUCCUUACCAAAUUCAUUUUCUUCUCGCUUUACGUUUCGUUAUUAUGCUAUGCUAUGGGAUCACCCCAUCAGGCGAACAGACGCGGGGGGGGGGGGGGGGGGGGGGGGGGGGCAUAUGAUAUUCCACUUCCACCUGCUCACCUGCAGAUUUGUGCCGGCGUGCACUUCGUUCUUGACUAGUAGUGGGUCGUUGGUCUCAGUCCCCAUCGUGGUCUUGCCGGCCACUAUUGCAAGGCUAGUCCUAGUGCCGUGUUCCCCGUGCAUGAUGUGUGCUCCAAAUUCCACAACGACGGCGAGUCCGUGGUCGUCCUCAACCACAUUGCACUAUCAAGUGGCCUCCGAGCUGAAAACUAACAACAAAACAUCCCUCAGUACCACCAGCUUCCAAGACUCAAACCCAGAGCUAUCCAUGGCAGAGCACGCACGAGGCUCCCAAAUCCUUCUCAUCUACCUCUGCCUCUGCCUCCUGCUACUAUCCUCAGUGCACCUGGCGAUGAGCAGGGACCUCUAUGACGACUUCGACGACAGCUUUGCCGACGAUAGCUUCUCUGAUGAGGUGCCACCGGCAGACGGCUACGACAAUAUGGACGACAGCUUCACUGACGAUAACUUCUCUGAUGAGGUGGCACCGGCAGAUGGCUACGACAACAUGGACGACAGCUUCGCCGACGAUAGCUUCUCUGAUGAGGUGGCACCGGCACGGCGCCUGUAUGACAACAGCUUCAAUGUGCUCAACAGCUCCUCCUCCUCCAACAGGUCUGGCGCGGCCUUCUGCAAGCUGCUGUCCCUGCAGAUACUGGACCUGUCCAACAACAAGCUCACCGGAGAGCUGCCGGACUGCUUGUGGGAGAUGCAGGCUCUGCAGUUUGUGGACCUAUCAAACAACUCUUUCUCGGGUAAGAUCCCCGAAGCCCCAUCGACCCACAACUGUUCUCUAGAAUCGCUCCAUCUUGCCGGCAAUAGCUUCACUGGAGAAUUUCCAAGUGUCGUUAGGGGAUGCCAGCAGCUGGCCACUGUUGAUAUUGGGAACAACAUGUUCCAUGGUGAUAUUCCUCGUUGGAUUGGAAGCGGUGCUCCAGCACUGAAAAUCCUUAGACUUAGUUCAAACAACUUCACUGGUCAAAUUCCUCCGGAGUUAUCACAUCUUUCACAACUUCAGUUGCUAGAAUUGGGCGACAAUGGAUUGACAGGGUUGAUCCCAAUAGAGUUGGGAAGCUUAGAGUCCAUGAAGAAUCCGAAAAUUAAUUCAAGUACAGGAUCGCUAGAUGGGUCCACCUAUCAGGAUAGAAUUGACAUCGUCUGGAAGGGACAAGAGCUGAUAUUUCAAAGAAUACUUGAGCUGAUGACGGGCAUUGAUUUGUCAGGCAAUUCACUGUCGCAUUGCAUCCCUGAAGAGUUAACCAAUCUCCAAGGCCUCCGAUUUCUGAACCUGUCAAGAAACAAUAUGUCAUGUACCAUUCCUAAAAACAUUGGUAGCCUCAAAUAUCUUGAGUCCCUUGAUCUUUCCUGGAAUGAACUUUCAGGACCCAUUCCUCCAAGCUUGAGUAGUUUGUCAUCCCUGAAUACAUUGAAUCUCUCAAACAACCAUUUGUCAGGCAAGAUACCUACCGGGAAUCAACUUCAGACACUCAUAGACCCAUCGAUUUACAGCAACAAUCCUGACCUCUGUGGACCUCCUUUGAACAUUUCAUGCGAAGAUCCGUCACACGCAUUUGAUGAGGGAAAUGGCGGAGAAUUCCAGGACCAAUGGCUGUACUACUGUGUGAUCGCUGGAAUUGUUUUUGGAUUCUGGCUGUGGUAUGGGAUGCUCUUUUCCAUUGCGAAGCUGAGGUAUUCUGUUUUCUUGUUUGUUGAUCGCAUGCAAUACAAAACUAUGCAAAAGGUGCGGCCUAUCAAUCGUUUUCUUUCAAAAGAAAAGAGUGAUCCAUCUUCUGUACCUAUGUUUUCGACAAGUGAUACAAGCUGAAGAAUGGAGUAAUGAUAUCUUCUCUACUAUACCUAGCAAUCCAAUCUUCUCUUUUUUUUCUCCCCUACUAGUACAACAGGAGAUUUGCUGCCUUUCUUUGUAUGCUUUAAGAUGUAAUGCUGAGAGGAGGCCAUAAGGAUUAUAGUCAACUGUUAUAUUGCAAUUUCAGUAAAAAAACAUUAUAUGUUUAAGGAGAUUUGCUGUCUUUCUUUGUAUGCCUUUCUGAUAUGAUAUGUUUAAGAAGUUCUUACUUUUUUGUACUUGAUUCAUUUCUACUGCUGUUAUGAAAAGAAUAUGUAUAUGAAAUUAUUUUCAAGAAGUGGCAUAUAUAUACCUAUCAUCCAUUCAGGGAAAACUUAUGCUGGGAGCUCACUUCCAUCAUCAAAAAGAUUCAGAGGGCUCCAUUUACAAAUAUUGGAGGAAUUGGAGAAGGGUUUUGAAAAAACCAAAAGAAAAGACUUCGAUGGAAUACUAAUCUAGUUUGGUGGAAUUUGUGGAAAAAAAAAGAAACAGAAGAACUCUUCAGCAAAAAAGCCUACAGCCGAUUGAGGUAGCAUAUCUUAUGAAGGAAGAAGUUGAGCAGCAACGCAUAGCUUUGGCAAAUGCCCGGAAUGGAGGAUGAAGUUUUGCAGGAUUAUGAGUUUGUAGUUUUUGAGCCGACUCCCUUUUUCUCUUUUCAGUUUGUAAGUUUUAGUCUUGCCGCCCCAAUGGGCUGUGUUCUCGGCUUUUUCUUCCUUCUUCAUUUUUUUUUGAGAGAACAGGAGAGGUCAAGGAGACCACUACUGAAAUUUAUUGAAGAAAAAUAAUUCAUUUUUGCAGUUUAGUUUUGCUGCUCCGAUGUACAGUGUUUGUAAUUUUUAUUUUUGUUUCCUUUUUUUCUACUAAUAAGCAAAGCUUUUGCCGGCCUUUCCAAAAAAUCAUGCACAGCCAGAAAAGGGUUAGCAAAAUAAAGUGACAAUAGUUUCUCUUAGCUUGCUGCCUUCUGAUAUCUAUAUUCAGUUGCAUAUUUAGCCCUUCCCAUCAAAUGGAGCAACAAGUAAUAAGUAUGGCAAUAAAGUAAAACACCUAAGUUGACUAGUACAGACUAGCUCUUGCAAUUGGUGACUUCCAUAAUAUAUUCAUAGUCUACUAUCAACCAGUUCCACCAAUAAACUUUCCUAGUUCUUGUCUUUGGUACUAGAACUUGAGAAACUUAAUAAGGCUCUAGAAGUGUUUGAGUUUCUGCACAGGUAUAUGUUGCUUCUGGUAGUCUGUUAGUUUGCUUACUAGGAUCUGUCGGGACGGUUCAGAAAGAUAUGCCCGAGCAUGCGACGAUCAUGUACAGUUUCUUCUGCAAUGUCUAAUAUGUCCUGUACUAACAAAUCAUCUUCUGUUGAAGAAGGGAUAGCCAGCAGGGAUGUUAAGAGGUCACCAGGAAUCCAGGAUGCAAAGAGCACAACAGGUAGUUGAGCAUUCAGACAUGUUGAUUGAACAAACAAACAGUCAACACAUAGAACCCUAAACUACCAUUCCUCUCCUCCCAAAAUUCUAGCUAUCUGAUUGUGCCCAUAGUCACCGGAGUUCCCGGAACGACGGAUCGAGGAACGACGAACCGGGAACGGGAACGACGUUUUAGAUUCAGUUUUUCCACUGUGCGAGCGAUUUCGUUCCCGUGUUCCGGUCCCGAACACUCGUUCCGGGAACGUGGAACGCUGCAUCGUUCCCGUUCCGCGGUGACUAAGAUUGUGCCUCGCUGUUAUCCAGCUAGUUGGGUGCUGCCGAACGAAGCUAGAUCGUUACAGAGCAGCGCGAGUGCCACUGCCAGGCUGCCAGCCGAUCCUAGCAGAUGCACCACAAAAAGCUACUCACCUGCUGAUAGCAAACGGGAUUCCUCAACCACGUUGAACAACAGCAUGAUUGAUGUUGGGAAAAAGUUCAAAAGAAUUAUAGUCGGUGGUUGUACUGCAAUUUCAAUGAAUAAAUAUAGGUUACUUAAUAUGUACCUGCAGGGUCUUUUUUUUCCUACCGGUAAAGACUAUUUUCUAAUCGUGCUACUCUACUCGGUAUAUUUCUACAAUUAUGUGUCCUGAUUCCUGACUUCCAUGGAAAUAUUGAUGCAGCAUGUACAUGAAACUGUUCAGGUAGUGAGACAUCUGUGCUGUUUUUUUUUUUUGGAAGGAAAAAAAAUGGCAAGAUCUCUGCCUUGCAUUUAAGUAGAAAAACACAAUCUGGUCACAAUGUGCAGUAUCAUCUCAGAGAAAGCUCUUGUCAUAUUUGAGAAAUACUCACUCCGGUCCAUUUUAUCUGGCGCAGGUUAGAAUGACACGGUCUUCUAGAUUACAUUUUGACCAUUCAUUUACUUUAUAUUAUAUUAUUUAUGCUUAUAAACUUAUAAUCAUUGGAUAGUAUAAUUCUUUACAAAUUUAAUUAUAUAAAAUUUGUGUUAUAAUAGUUAAUAAUUAUUAGUCUAAUUAAUGGUCAAAGUUUUAAAAGUUUGAAUUUUGAUAUACGUGUGCGCCAGAUAAAAUGGACCGUAGGGAGUAAUAAGCAAAGUGGCUGAAGAACACCUCUUACAAGUUACGACUUGUGGUUUUCCACUAUCUACGGUACAGUUGCAUGUUUAUAGCCCGCUUGGCAGGCGGGCCGGGGGGGGGCGAACAUCAGCAUAGUAGCGAAUUGAGUACAGCUAACUUUGUGUACAUAUAGACUUCUAAGGAUCUCCAGAAUAGUUUUGUGGUCUAUCACUAUGCAGUCUGAGAAAAAAUUAGUCCUCUCAAACUGCAUCCAAAAAAAUACAUUAACUACAAAUUUCACUUGUUGAGCUUCAAACCU
Molecule: long non-coding RNA, 62630 nt
Filed under: Sorghum bicolor (sorghum)
Lineage: Eukaryota; Viridiplantae; Streptophyta; Magnoliopsida; Poales; Poaceae
Description: long non-coding RNA (SBIC_LNC000479)
Source: RNAcentral